UUUUGCUUUGGAAUAUGAAGAAUGUUCCAGCCAACUUUCCAAGAAAUCGACAACGCUGAAACGCCAAGAUGCAGUAGUCGAGCUUAACAAUCUGGUCAACCAAGCGUUACAAGUGAUUGAGCACAUCCUUGAGUUGGAGAAACUAAUUUCUGGUGAUCGAGACAGUGAACCAAAAUUGGCGAGGGUAAUUAUGGAUACCCCAUUUAAUGCCUUCUGGUCAAUCAUAACUCUUGUAGCUUGCACAACUGAGCUCUCACUUCUUACCGGUGACGAGUAAGUUCUUGUACUAAUUUUUCUAUUAAGAUUUGAUAAAAGAAAACAAAAACAUUUCUUCUUGCCAACUACGUAUACGGGUUUUAUGUGUGUGUGUGUGUAAAACUAAAAGGGUUCUUUUGUUAAAAUCUAUAUUUGACAGUGUUUUUGUGAUGUAAUUUCUAAGAACAAGGAAUGAAGAACAACACAGAGAAUUUCAGAGAGAAUUGUAGGAGCUAAUCGUAGCUGCACUGCAAGAUAUUUUCAUUGAUUCAAACAUUGGUUGUUUGUACAAUCUUAUCUCUUCUUCUUCACUACAAAACAAAGACAACUAGCUAAAAGCAAUUUAAGCCCUUCAAUUAGGAAACUAAUAUGGUGCAUACAAUUGUCCUAUGAGACUAAGUCCACACCUUACCCACUAACAUAAAUUAAAACUAGCCACCCCCCAAAUUUAAAACUGGCAGAUUUCUUACAAUCCAAACUUUCGGGGACAUUAAGUCAAAUUUGCUAUAAUCCAAAUUUAAAACUGGAUUUCUUGCAGUUAAAACAUCUUGAAGGUUUGGUAUAUUAUAAAUUUGCUAAUUAUAUAUCUGACUAUCAUUUGAUUUGCUCUUAAAUUAUUUCAGGGACAUUAAGUCAUAUGAUCUAUCCCCUUUUUCUCAAAAAAUGGGCUUCAUCCUCAACAAGCUUGAUGGACAGCUUACAAUCUGCCAACAAGAAAAAGGUCGGUUGUGGAUGCAUGAUAUGACUCCCGAGGGACAUUAUAUAUUGCAUUUGCCAUUAGUCCAAUAUUGUUGAAUCUAUUUUAUUUUUCUAAUUAAUACAGAGGAGGCAAAGGCCAAGGAAAAGUUUUGGGAACUUAUACGCACUGCCCCUCCUGAAAUUACCGAGGUUUUCCAAAGGCUGGUUCUUUUCAAGCAUAAAGCGUAUCCGCAGCCUCCCAUCAUCAGUGUUAAUCCCACUAGCAAGGAGGUUUGGUCCCCUAGCACAUUGAUUUUCUUCGUAUCUGUAUUACUACUCAGCAACUUAUUUAAUUGUAGUUAUCUUCCUUAUUUUUUGGGUAAUCUGGGGAGGGGGGCGAACACCAAAAACACCUUGUUUGAUAUCCUAUUUGAAAUUUUUUAUAAUUUCUCAAAACAUUUCUUAAGAACUUUUCUUGAAAACAAUUUUCUUUAAGACUCAAAAAUGGUAUCCUAUUUUAGUUGUUGUUUUUUAACCUGUGUUUUUAAGACUCAAAAAUUCUUCUCUCUGUGAAUAAGCAGUCUCCAGCACCACCGUUCAAAUCACAUCUGAGACUCCAACAAACACACAAACCUCAUACCAAAAACACAGGUUCAACCUUGCAGCUCCAACACCGAUUUCUACCCUCUCAUCUUUCUUCACGGUCUCCCCUCUCCCUAUAGUUUCUCACUACCCAGUACCCGUUUCUUUAAUUUUGCAUCAGAAAUUAAGGAAAAUAAGGAAAGAUAAAUCGUAUUUAUUAAAUAAAAAACGAUACAUCCAAAUGAAAAUUUAAAUCACUCUGGACUUCAGCUCGAAAUAAUCACCCGGGAUUGAAUCCAAAAUACCAACAAUCAUAUUUAUCCUUCCGCCGUCAAGCUCCGCACCAGAAAGACAUCGUUUCCUCCAUAAGAUCCAAAAGAGAGACCAUACGACGGAAACUACGGAGAUGAGGAAAAACUUAAUGUAUCUGUCAGUGUACUCUUCCCACAAAAUCUGAUGGAAGCAACGAGCGAAGCAGAGCACAAACGACAGAAUUGAAAGACGUUCAAGAAGUUGAAGUUAUCAGAUGCAGUGACAGUGCGAGACAAAGUCUACCUAGGACAUUGAUUUUUUUCAUAUAUGUAAUACUACUCAGAAACUUAUUUAAUUGUAGUUAUCUUCUUUUAUCUAUUUUUCACGUACAGGUUUUUAACAUCGAUGCGCUAAGGGGGAAGUGUGUGUUAUUUUACAUUUCAAGCCUGGACAAUGUUUCUGAUCAAGAUAUUUUAUGUCUCAAAGAAGUGUAUGAGGGAAUCGAUAGGCAUAACAAGCGUGCGAUUGUGUGGAUCCCUGUUGUUGAGGACUGGACCGAAGGAGGAGAAGAGCAGUUUAAGGAAUGGAGGUCUAAGAUGCCAUGGUACGCGGUGCAAUAUUUUUUGCCCCCGGCCAUUGGGUACCUUGAGCAGCGGUGGAACUUCAAAGGUAAUCCUAUGGUGGUCGUGAUGAACCAGACCGGAAUUGUGGUAAACACCACCAUAAUCGACUUGAUUCGGACACAAGCAACGGAGGCAAUCGCUUUGCUUAACCUUGAGCGGCGGGUGCACAUCAGAGGUAAUCCUCACGAAGAGGACCCGUCGUGGAUCCUCCUGGCCAGUGGACCAUUUAAUUCAAGGUCAAUAGAAAGAGCACAUAAAAUUAUGUUGGCAAUGCUAAAUCUAAUGAUUUUGUUUCUCCUUUUUAUAAUUAUUUUAAGCAGGUGGUGCCCUGUUUGUACCGACUGCUGAAGCCGUGGAGGAGUUGAAGAGGUUAACUUGUCCUCAGCAAUCGACGCCUGUCCUUCUUGAUGGUUCUAACAAGCAGGUUUGCUCUCAUUCUAUAUUAAUAGUCAAGCUACGAUUUGGCAUUAAAAAUUAUCAAAUUAUCCGGCAGGUUGGAUUUGGCGUUAAAAGUUAAGGAAUCUCGUCAAAAUUUAUUCAUUAACUGUGCUGGAAUUUUCUUUCAAACAGGUUAAUAUCGACAAUGAGCUGAAGUGGAAGCAUCUGUUUUUGUUACUCUCCGACGUAGGCAUUGAAGAUUGUUACAUUUCAUAUCUCAAGCCAGUUUAUGAGGGAAUAAGAAGAUACGAUGGGUAUCGGAUUGUCUGGGUUCCCAUUUUGGAGCAGUGGAACAAAGACAAAGAAAAACAACUUGAGAUGUCUAGGUUGAAGAUGCCGUGGUACACAUUGAAGUGUUUUUCAACCAUACCAGGCAUCAAGUACAUGAAAGAGAAGUGGAAUUACAAGGGUAAGCCUGCGGUGGUGGUGAUGACCAGUGAAGGUAUCGUGAAAAAUGAAAAUGCUUUCCCCUUGAUUAAGAAACGUGGAAUGGACGCCUUUCCUUUCUUUAAGGUACCGUUUGGUACGCAGACGGGACGGGACGGGACGGGACGGGAUAGAAAGGGACUGGACGGAACGGAUAUUCCGUGUUACAUUUGGUACGGAACGGGACAGUUGUUCCGUUCGCCGUUCGGUAUUGACUGAACGGAACCAAAAGAUUAAAAUGACUAAAAUACCCAUGUUCCAUCUAUUGUUUGGUACAAUAUUUAUGCGUGGAACGGGAUAAGACUUUUUUUUUUUUCUUUUCAACUUGUUCAAAUUUGAACACUAUAUGCUUAUCCAUUAUUUGUUUUUCUUGGUCCAAAUUUUAUUAGGUAUAUGUUGUGUUCCACAUGCAACCCCCUUUAAAAUUUGUAAUUCUUCUAUGAUUUAGGUUGAUGAAGUCAGACUUCCUUGAGCCAGUGAAUAUUGGAAGUGAUGAGAUGGCUAGCAUGAAUGAGAUGGCUGGUUCUGUCUCUAUGGUCAUGGUUGCCAUGCAAUGUUGAAAAAUAUAUAAGUUUAAUGAUCAUACAUGACCUGAACAAACGAGCAUAUAAUUGCACCAUAAGUUAACAUACAUCGUCAUAUAGGGCGAUAAAGGUAAACAAAUGCCUAAAAAAUUACUAAUUCUACCUCAAAGUAGUGCCUCUUGAUCUCCAUCUCAACAUCAAGGCCAGUGAACUCACACAAAUGCCUAUGGGUAAAGGAGUCCUCAGCUCUAAAAACAGUACCAAUCUCAAAAAUACGGCCGAAGUCACCACAUAUAGCCAUCUGCUUGUGAAGCUGAGGCGACUGGGCAAGGCAUGCAUCUUGACCCUUGUAGUUGAGUCUAAAAACAGCAGCUCCACCUUCACUUGAACCAGCAAUCAGUUUUGGUGAGUGGAUUUCAAAAAAGCCUUCGGAUAUCAAGAAUUGCCUAAAGAUCUACACAACAAUGCAACCGACAUACAGAACUAAACUCUUAACGAUUUUCUCUAGCUUUAAAAAGAUAAAUAGCUGCAAAUGGUGGAAAGACUACUUACAUUGUUGGAUUUGUGACCAAGUGGACAACAAGCCAAAAUACCUUUCGGCUAAUAAAAUAGAAUAAGGAAAAGGGGGACAUCAUUAUGAUGUCUAGCCCUUGAUUUGUGGCUUUUACAAAGGCAAAGAAUAUGUGGCAAUUAUGGGUUUGUUCCUUUUGUUUAUUAUAUGUUUUUGGUUAUGCCUUUGGUGAAGUGGGAGCGGCAGUAGAGGAGAAAAAAGGGAGUUGUUUGUUGACAGCUCUAAUCAGUGAGCAGAGGAGAGAGCAUUCGGCUCUCCCAUUUUAAAUAGAGUUGCUGCCUUCCCCCUUUGUUAGUGAUCACUCAAUCAAAGAUAUUUGUGCUACAUGUUGUGGCUUUUGGGAGAGAAGGAAUUUGGUAUAUGUUUCCAUUUUCUCCAUUUGUUCUUUGUUUUAGUGAGAGCUAUUGGGUGUAUGUGGGAUUUGGGUUUGAGAGUUAAAACUCUAUUUGUAAUCUCCUUUUGAUAUUAGUGGAAUUUCCUCGCCGUCUCGGAACUGGACGUAGGCUUACGCCGAACCAGUAUAAAUCCUUGUGUUCUUUGGAUUAUUUGUCUUGUCAUAUUUUACUGUAUUAGCUUAUUGGUUUCAUAUUUGACGCUUCCGCACAACAAGUGGUAUCAGAGCUCUGAGUUUCGACUUGGGGCUUUGUACUAAUAUGUCUAUGAAACCUUCGAAUAUGUCGGUGAAAUAUGAUAUUGAAAAAUUCAAUGGGAGGAAUGAUUUUAGCCUGUGGCGGGUUAAGAUGCGAGUUGUGCUAGUUCAACAAGGGUUGCUUAAGGCGCUACAGAGUGUGGAAGCCUUGCCACAAGAUUGGUCUGCUGAAGAAAAAGAAGACGCUUUGAAUCGAGCACAUAGUGCAAUUAUGUUAUCACUAUCUGAUGAAGUUCUUCGUGAGAUGGAAAAUGAAACUACUGCAGCUGGUUUGUGGCUUAAGUUGGAGAGUAUAUACAUGACCAAAUCCUUCACCAAUCGUUUGUAUUUGAAGCAACGUUUGUACACUCUCCGUAUGACUGAAGGUACACCUAUUCAAAACCAUCUUUGAUAAGGUUAUUAUGGAUUUGAAAAGUAUGGAUAAUAAAAUUGAUGAUGAGGAUCAAUCUUUGAUUUUGUUGUGUUCUUUACCUCCUUCGUAUGCGAAUUUUGUUGAAACUUUGUUAUAUGGGAGAGAUUCUAUUUGUAUGGAGAAUGUAAAAGCCGCUUUGAAUUCAAGAGAGUUAAAGAACAAAGUAUUUGGAAAUUUGAAUGAUUCUCAUUCUGAGGCUUUGAUAGCAAGAGGCAGAGAUAGGGAAGCAUGAAAAUGAUCUCAAUUGCUAAAAUUCUGAAAUAAGCCGAGAGGGGCAGUCUUGGCGCCCAAAGACUGAAAACCAGACGACAUUUCAUCCCCAAACGCGAAACCCGCAACUCUCUCUCUCCACCACCCAUGGAGGAGACCGCCAUCAUUUCAAAACCUCGUCGCCGCCGACCUUCUGCAGUUCACCAAACUCCAGAACCCCCCAAAAACCAAAAAUCAACCAAAUCCCAAACCCACCAAACCCUCCGCUCGCUCGCCAAGAAAUUCCUCCCCUUCCUCAAUCGCGCGCUAUCCCUUCUCCCCAAACGCCUCGCCGACCCCUCAAAGUUAGAUGACGAAGUUGCCCUCGAACUCUCCGAUAUUUACCGGCUUUGCCUCUACUGCCUGACCGCCGUGUCCCCUGUGUUGUCCGCUUCGCCGUGCUCGUUUCACUCCCAGAGGGUGAAGAUGGUGAGUUGCCUGGUGGCAUGUGGGCGGUAUGAGGAUGCGGAGAGUGAGGGGUUUAGGAUUUUGGAGAGCCUUAAGGCGAUUGAAUUUGAAUCUAAGAAAUUGGUGAAAUGGGACCGGAGAUUUGUGCCAGAUGUGUAGAAGGGGGGAGGAGAUAAAGAGUUUAGGUCUUUAGUGGGAGAAAUUGUGGUGACGCUUGUGAAAUGUGCGGCCAUGAGUCAGAGUAAGGAUAGUGAGGUGUAUGGGCGGGUGCUUUGUUUGGUUGAGGAGGUCGUGCCGUGGUUCCGGUGAGUAAAUCGUCUGAUUUUCGCUUUCCGCAGAAUAUUGCUGUUAGUAAUUUGGAUUAAUCGUUUCAGCUUGAAAAGCAGAACCAUAAACUUAUCCGAAGCAGGCACAGUCUCACUGGCAUUUCGUGCACAACAUUAUAUAUGAUUUUACGGCUAUGAUAUGUAUACUGAUUGGUGUACCUGCUAUGAAAUGUCUCAGGGUAUUAGAUGCAAGCACAUGUGAGAAGUUGCACACGAAUCUCGCUGUCUACCUGAGUAGGUGUACUCAAUUUUUAGUUAGGGAGCUAUCAUCGUUCAACGGGGAUCUUGUGCAAAAGUUCUGCCUUGUAACCAUGGCUGAGUAUGUCAAGUCGUGAAUGAAAGAUACAAUGUUCAAGGUAGCCUAUGUUUUGAUUUUAUAGUUGCGAUUUAUAAAAAAUUUCAUGCAUGUAUCUAAUCAGUAACUGUCUUUUGUUCAUACAGUUUGCCCGUACGAUGUGUUCAUCUUUGUUCUUGUCUCGAGAGGACAGAUUCACGCUCUCUCGCAUCUUAUUUUGCUUGUUGGACUCCCUUGUCCACAAAUGUAAGGUAACACUGAGUUUUAAAUGUAUAUUUUAAGAUUGAAGAAUGUGGUUUGACCAAGAUGUCUAUGUUCAGUGAUCAUCGGUGCCCAUGACAAUGUUUAGUUUCAAGGUAUUGACUUGAAGGCUGAGCCAGUUUGUAUUAGAAAUGUUGACCUCUAUUUCAACUAAAUGGUAGAAAUAUGAUUGCAUGUUUUUAUUUGUAAUUCUUUAACUUUGAGAUACCAUACAAUGAUUAAGCUAAAAAGGUUGCCAUAUCUUCUGGAUUCAAAGUGCUUUGCCCCUUUUGAAAAUGUAUGAUGUCUUGGGAAUUAGACAUCGGAUUAUGCAGAUUUUCUAUUUGUUGUAUCUACUUGGUAUGUUUUAUUCCUCUGAUUUGAUUGCCAUUAUUUUCUUCAGACACAGCAUACUUGUUUUCUUAAUUGUAUUACAACUUUUUUUUUUUUUGGGUCAACAUCGCAUUACAAUGUUAAAGUGAAAUUGCCAUUUCAUAUGCAUAGACUUUUAGUACUUUACUAGGAAGUGGUGCCCGCGCGUUGCUGCGGGAUAAGAAAGUUUGUAGGUAAUAACAACUAAAAAAUUAUUAAAAAUAGAUUGAGCAUAAUUUGUAAAUUGUUCAGUUUUGACUAACGUUAUAUUAAUUUAUACAAACAAAUGCAUUGAGAUAUAAAGAGUAAGUGAAAUUGGAUACAUACCUUGGUUGAGAAUUUGGAUAACGUCUUAGAAAAGAUAAGUUUGUUGCAAUUUAGUACAACAAAGAUGGAUCAGAUUUGUGUAAAUUGGUAAACUCAGUUUUGAUCAUCUAAAGUAAAAAUCAUCAUUUCCGUCUUCUCUUCAGAGGAAUUAACUAUUACCAAUUUAUAUAGACAUCAUACCACUAAAGAUAAACCUUGUCCAUAUUUUCUAAAUUUGUGAAAGAACAUAUUAGAUUAAAAUAUGAGGAGAGGGUAUAUCUCUAGUACAAAUGUCUACUUUUAUACCUUUGGAUAUCCAAUUUAACUUUUCAAUAUGCAAGCAGGUAAUUUGCCAUGUAUUUAGAUCAUGUGAAAAGAUAAUUUGUAUACAUAUAUUAGUAAUAGCUAAUUCCCCUAAAGAGAAAGCUUGACAAAAUUUGUAAUUAAAUGUAAAACGUCAAUAAAAAAAAUUAAUAAAGUAUUAAUUAAUUUUACAUACAGUUAUAAAACUAUAACGUAAAAGUAGCUCUAGAUUAUAACUUAAGCAAAGAAAUAUGUGAAAAUAAUGAUUCCAUAUACAAUUUAAAGCCAUAGUAUUGACAGCAACCAGACAAUUAUCAAACAAAAGGAAGAAAUAUAAUCUUUCACACAAUUUUACAAAAGCAAAAAGCACUUACACAAAACACACUCAAUUGCUAGUAACCUUGACAGCUGAAAGCUACUUCAGCAGCUGAAAUUACUGUAGGAACCGAGAUGCAGCAGAGAUUUUUUCAAAUUGAAAUUAAUCUGCAAAUGAUUGCAAACACAAAAAUAAUUCAUUUUCAAAUAAAGAUAAAACAAACUUAAAAUAUUUCCAGGGUACUUUCAAAAACAGGAGAAUAAAAACGAAGCUUUUAUCAACAUGACUCUCAAUUUUAUAUAGAUUAGCAUAAUUCAAUUUAAGCACAAAACUGAAAGUCUAAUGAUGACAGAAUACAGUGUAAAUGUUACUAAAAUAACUUGUCAUACAGAAUAAGCAAGGCUUUUAAACUACAAUAUUAAUCGAGCAAAUUUAUAUAUCAUUAUAAAUGUUAUUAAAAUCAGCUAGAAUACAAAGCAGUAAAGAUUUAUAUCCGAGGAUAAUAUUUUAGACAUUAAACUAUAAAACUACUUAGCCGCUCCUGAGAAGAAUACAAAAAGUUUCUUUUAACCACCAUUUUAAAAAACAGAACAACCAAUAUAUACACAAUCACAAAGCUUGAUCAAAUAAAAAAGAUGUAACCACAGUGGAGCGAACAAAUAUAACCUUUUGAAUAUGGUUUUUUUUAAUUUUUUUUUCACAUCAUUCCCUACAAAAAAAAGCAAAAACCGCGAGUGUCAAAUGGAUUAUAACAACACUGUGUGAACGGAUGUCCACGUGAAGCUGCGGAUGCCAGCCUGAUGUUACGGAUGCCUGUGUGAUUGAGAAUAACUUGCACUAAAUUCUAUAUAAAAAAGGGACAGAUUAACAUAUUUAAGCUAAGUAUUAAGAUGCAAACAUUCUUAAGAUAAGAAAUCAUAUAAUUAAGCAGAAAAUUGAUAACGUAUUCAAUAAAACUACAAAAGGAAAAGGGGUUAUAGAAAAUUACACUUUAAAUAUUUCCAAUUAGUGAUUAAUCACUUUGAUUAUUGGCAAUCUACAAACAAUGACUGAUUAACGUCAAAUGAAAUUGACAUAAAAUUCAAAGAUUCAAGAAUUUAAUUAAAAAUUAUACAUAUACUAUCCGGACCUUAUUGUAUAUAAAUAAAAAUUCAAAUAAUAAAAAAAAAAUUCAAGGUUCCAUGAUGGAUAGUUUUAAAAAUUAGAAGCUGAGAUGGUGAUACCUCCAGCAUUUCUCAAACUCUCAACAUCCUGAAACAAUAAAGCAAAUCAACAAUGCAACAAACAUAAAUCACAUAAAGAAAAUAACACACUGUAAAAAAGAUGCAAAAAGUUGAGCAGAAAACACACACCUUAAACUUCUCAAUCUAUUCUUUAGGAGUGCAUUAAGGGCCCAACUGCAUUUUACUGCUUUCUUCUUCAAUCUUCCUCUCACUUGUACACUCAUCUGCCUUCCAAUCCUCACCAUUCCUUCACUAUCUGUAUAAAUAAAAAUAGAAAAAGAUAUAACACUCUUAAAUCAAACCCCAAAAUAAUUGGGUAAAAGCAUUUUAGAUUAAAACCCAAACCUAAACAGCUAAAAAGACCAGCACAUAAAAUUAAUAAAUGAAUUAAAAGAACAGUAAACAUAUAUUAGUCCCAAGAAAAAGAUAUCUAUUGGACGUAAUGUAUGUUUCCCACCUUAAUCAUUUUUAUAUUGUUAUUGUUAUCAUGUUGGCUAGCACCCAGCGUAGUGCUGUAGUGGCGUACAACUUUUCCUUUCUUUACUGUACCAAUAGCUCUCUUGCACCCCCAUGUUGAGCUCUUCUCUGCAUAUAUACCUCUUGUAAGUAAUCUUAAUCAGUCAGUUAUCAUAAAUAUACAACUUAUAUUAAUUUUCUACAAUAUCCAACACACAAACAUAACAGAAGAAGAAACUUUUACUUAAGCGGCGCAAAAGGAUAUCCUCUGCAUUUCAUUCCAAAAUCCAUCACUCUUAUGUCUUUGCCUGCACAGUUUUUGCUCCAACAUAGCCUGCCAUGAUGAUAGCACUAUCAAUAAUUAAGACAUAAAGAAAGGCUACCCUAGCUAGCCAUUAUCGUUGGAGUAAACCAAUAGCAUCGUAAGUAAAGUAGCAGACCAAGUUUUUUUAGAAUUGAUGUGUUAACAUGUUUAAGUAGCAAAAAGAUUACAACACGUUGGAUGUGUUAACACAUCCAUAAGCUGAUGAUUCCCUCUCCGGUUUAUCACAUCAUUCUUAAUAUAUUCAACAAUGUAGCAACACUGAACUCACAUAGACUACGUUUUUUAACUGUCUCUCUCUCUCUCUUUCUGAUCAUCCACAUGUGUUUCUGAGAAAUGUUUAGCCAUUUAACUAAAACACAAAAAAUAAAUAAAAAAUAAAUCCUCACCCACAUCAAAAAACCGAAACAUGCAGAGCACAACCCAAAAAUUAAGGAUGACCAUCCCUCUUUUUUUUUUUAAAGUUUUAGGGAAGGAUCGAUGCACAGACAAUCGAUGUACAGGAAAACCCUAACCUAAAAGACCAAAAUUUCCCAAGAUGAAAAAUGCAAUUAGAUGGAACAACCAAACACAAAUAUCAUAAAAAAUGCAUAAAACAUUCCAAAUAAAAAACCCACACACCUUAAUCGAAAAGGGUUUCCAAGAUUGCACAGAGAAACCCUAAAAUUGAUAGAGCAGUAUAUCUUGAAAGAAAAAAUGCAAUCAGAUUAAACAACGAUGCUAAAAACACGAAAAAAUUAGGAAAGAACUGAUAAAAAAACGCAAAGAUUUUAAUUUUACACCAAUCGAUCUACAAUUUUUCUUCCUAAUCAAAGAAAAGAGAAAAAGAAUUAAAUAGACAAACCACCUGAAACACCGCGAUCAGUCAGAAAAACCACCUUUUCAGACGGCAGACGAUGAACACAAACAGAGAAGCAAGGAAACACGAAGAUCGAACAGGGAGAAAAGCAGAAAAACAGAGAGCAGGCGAAAGGAAAAAGCAACGGAAGAAAAUGAGAGAAGGUUCGAGCACCUUUCCGUAUGUAGGCUCAUUGCACAGAGGGGCAAAAUCGACAAUUUCUGUAGCAUCUUUUAAAAGGCUGAAAACCGUGCGUUAGAUGAGGGACAAAACAGGAACGGCACUGUUAAUGAACAGUGUUUUUCCACCAACGUUUAGUAUAGAUAGAAUAUUGUCUCUUUUACCGAGUGACAUCUUGAUGUAAACUUUUUAUUUAUUUGAGCACCUCAUAACAAAUGUUGCCUUGAACCUUAUAUACAAUUUCUUUCCUUUUGGAGGUGGUGCUAUGUUCGUUUGAACCGUUUGGAGAUAAUUACUUAUGGAAUUGAAUUAGUCAGCUGCUUAUUGCAUUUCUGUAAACUUUUGGCAGGCUAAAGUGGAAAAUACAGGAAAAGAGUUCAUUGAAAUUAUUGCUUAUUGUGCCAAGAAAUGUCAAACUACAAACCCAAACCUUUGCGGUGUUGUUGGAUCCCAUUUAAAUAAAUUAGCAGGUGAUUUCCAUCAGGUAUCUUAUUUAUGUAGUUUGCUCAUAAAAAUUCAGUAAACUGGCACUCGUUUACAGUAUUUGCAUUUUGUGUUGUAAUUUAAAAUACAGCCUUUUUGUGCAGGUUGGAACACCUUUUCAUUUGAUUCUAAGGGUUUGUGCCACUGGAUUGCACUUUGUUGAUUGCAGUAUGAAGUAAAAAAUUAGUCAUCUUCAAUUAUUUGAAGGUGCAGUCAGAGUUUUGUUUGAUGAUGGGGACGCAAUGAAUCGUUUGUCCGACUUGCUUGGUUCAUGGAGAAGUUUUUUCCAAUUUGGCGGCAUUGACGACCCUUUGUUCCAAUUUGCAGUUGAGUUCGGACAAUGGGGAAUCAUUGAUUCAAAUGCAGGACAGAAAGAACUAUCUUCUGUCUUAUUUUAAUGCAUUGAAAUUCUGAUGCCUGCCGCUUACAGAGUUAGUAAAUUCAGGAGGGAAACAGAUUAUUACAAAUAAUGAAGCUGCUUUUGUUUCUGCUGAAUUGUGCCAUAUCCAGGGUGCUUCCAUCAGUUUUGUUUUCUUUCUCUGCAAAUGUGAGUCAACAAUAAGCUUCAGUGUUUUCAUUUCUUUGAGUAUUAUGUACUCGUGACUGAAGUUGCUUGGUCUUCUUAAUCCACAAUUUCUUCAGUCCUUUCCCUAAAUACUAUCUCACAAGAUCACAGUCAGUUGAUGUUAUAAGAUGUAUCUGAAAUAUGUUUGUGCGUGUAUAGAGAUGGAUUUGAUGGAAACAGCACCCUUGAUGUUGCUCUGGCUGCUUUUACCCUCGCCAUCAUAACAAAGCUGAAAAUGCAGGUUGUCAUUCUUAUGAUAUAAUACUGAAAUUGUUACGCCCCAAUCCCGACAUACGUCCAGGAUCGACACGUGACGUCACUAAAUACCCGUAUAUCUAACUUACCUCGCCUCCUGAAUAUAUAUACAAAGUAUCGUUCAAGAUCCAGAUGCACAAUAAUUUUUCGUAUACUUUAUGGCUGCAUCUAACCUCCUCGUUAGACUGCCUACGUACCCUCAAAAGGGAUCAAGCCAUUCGUAGUUCACCAAUCGUCAACUCCAAUCUUUCCGUAAAAUACUUCUAAUAGCAAAUCAUAAGGCACCAUAUUACACAUCAACCUUACGUCAAACACAACAAUUAUCAUCUUUCAUACACGCAUGAAACCCAUUCUCACACAGAUACUUUCCAAUUCAUCCAUCAUAUAAAUCAUUCUGUUUCACACAAUGCCGCAAAUCAUAGUAUGUAACAUAUCCAAGAACCAACGAAGCACAAUGUUAUUCUCAAGUCACAUUAAUCAAUUACUCAAUUCAUAAUAAUCUCAAUUAUACCCAACGUCAUUCCACAAUCACAUCAAUUAAUUAAUCAUGAAUCAAAGAUACAUGAUCUUAGCAUUUAAUUGUUUAAUCAUUGAAUGCAGUAACAUAUCAUUUCACAAAUUUAACCAAGGAACUCUAACGACUCUGAAGACAUCCAACGAAUUGUUUGAAACAAAUCACAACAGCUCAUAAUCAUAAUCUCAUACAACAGAAAAGUAGGGCUAGAGCAACACAGUUCGGCCAAAGCCUACAUCUAUGAAGCUAUCUCGAUCCAAACUCAAUAAAACCCAAGGUGAACACGAUCCCGGACCAUCUCUCAACAGAAUCGUGAAGUAGGAGGGAUUCCGGACCAUCUCUCAACGGAAUUCGAGUGGAUACGAUUCCGGACCAUCACUCAACGGAAUCGCGGAGCACAAUGCCUAAUCACCACUAAGUGAAACCCAAGUUAGAUACGAUUCCGGAACAUCACUCAACGAAAUCGCGGAGUAGAAGGGAUUCCAGACCAUCUCUCAACGGAAUCCGAGUGGAUACGAUUCCGGACCAUCACUCAACGGAAUCGCGGAGUAGAAGGGAUUCCGGACCAUCUCUCAACGGAAUCCGAGUGGAUACGAUUCCGGACCAUCACUCAACGGAAUCGCGCGGAGUAGAAGGGAUUCCGGAUCAUCUCUCAACGGAAUCUGAGUGGAUACGAUUCCGGACCAUCACUCAACGGAAUCGCGGAAAGCCAACAACCAUAAUGUGCGACGGCUCAAAGAAAUGAGACAAGCACAAGUUGCUUAAUUUACAAAAGCUUGACAAGGGAAAUUAGGCACAAAUACUAAAUUUAGAACUAAUCGACGAAGCGGGAAAUGAAACAAUAUCAAAGCAACAAAUCCCCAUCACCAUGGUUAACGGUCCAUUACUAGUCUUCACAUUUCAUCACAACAUGCCAAUCAUACAAUUCAAACCACAUUCCACAACAUUUCAAUGCAUAAAUCAAACAUGCUUAAUAAACAAGUAUAAUAUAAUACGGUGCCACUAGUACAUGAAUCGAGUCACACGUCAACCGAGGAGACAUGUCAUCACGAUGAGCCCAUCAAGUUCCAUGAAAUCCCAACCACACUCUAAGCUCAGAGGUACGCUAGAAGAACUCGGCUAGUUGAUGGAUUUCUCUAUAUAUACUUCUAAUACGAAUCUACGAUCACAUUGUCACAACAUUUAUCGGACUUACCCUUCACAUUACUAAAAAGAUAAUUAAACGCACAUAUAUCACAAUCAUCAUCCGUACAUAAGCCAAUUCAUGUUUAAUAGACAUAAGUCUAUGGCUAAACAUAUAAAUAUAAAUCAUAUUUCAAUAGAAAUCCUAUUUAGAAGACCAAUUCAUAUUCACAAUUGACAUCAAUACCAUCAUUCAAUUAGUAGUAAGGAAGAUUAGAAAGGAAUCUGGAAAGAAACUAGGUGUGGCAAAAACAGUACUCUGCUUCUCCACCAAAUCUGCAGAAAACAGCUCCAUUAGACCAAGUUUAGGCUCUCUUUGGAACAUUCGAACUAAAUCAAAUCACAUAAUAUUAUAUGGGUUUUGAAGCUUGCGUUCUGUACUUUAAAAGCAUACAAAGUUUGUAGAAAACGGAGCUCUAAAUUGGAAGUUAUGCCAAUUAUAAAAUGUAUCCCAAAACUAGAAAUGCAGAACUUGCUGUCUGGCAGCUUUGUGACUCAAAUUUGAUCAUAGUUUUGGUCAACCAAAACUCAAUGGAAUUAAGUGAAAUCAGAUGGGUUUUGAUCAUGGACAUGUCUAUUUUCAAAACACCCAAUAUUAGUUCAAAAGGAGCUCACAAGGACAUAGAAAUCAAGAGCCAAAGUAGGCUAAUUGAAACAUAGUUUCCCUUUGCAAAAAUGAAUAAGUUUUCUGCAAUGUAAAACCCAUACUAGUUUAAUCCAAUUUACAAUUUCAGGGCAAUCCCAAACUAUCCAGGAAUCAUAUUCAACUUCUAUUUCAAUGUGUUAGCUUACCUAUAACAUGCUUAAUUCUUCCCCUCUUAGCCAAAGACUACAAACAAUUCAAUAAAAUUAAAGUAUGUACCAUUUCUUGUUCUUGUCUUGCCCUCCAAAGUCAUUCAACAAUCUACCACUUAGCUACUAAGCUCUUAAAUCAAUGUUACCACCACAACUCCCCAUCAAGAACAACAGAAAUUCAAGUUAAACACAUAAAUCUCAAACUUGUGGAAAAAUGAAACUUGAAAUUCGAAAGAUCCACUUACAUAUUCUGGAAGCGCAUGAAGAGAGGAGUAUUAUUCCCUCUUGGGUCAAGACCUAUCUCUGGCGAGGUUAGCCGAAAUCGGCGAAAAAAUCACAAAAACCGUCGAAGCUUCUAGGCUUCAAAGUAUGGGCACGUUUUGUUCGAGCAUAUGGGUUUGGUAUCAAUUUGAAGAGCGCUUCGCUACGAAUACAUAGGCUUCGACCGCGUGUAAUUUCGUUUCCGUACGAGAAAGUUAUGAUUCCCUGAAAUUUUUGGAGAGAAGGAGAAUUAAAGGGUAGAAAAAUCAACAGCCCCCCCUUGGUUUUUCACGCAGGAAAGAAGAAAAGCAAGUCCUUGGCUUCUAGAAAGUUUCCUCUUGAAUUUACUAAAAUGUCCGUAACUAUACCGUUAGAAAUCGGACUUGCAAACGGCUUUCGUCUAUGUAUUCGUGAUCUCGAAGUCUAUUCAACAAUACAAAUUGUGACCUCAAAAGGUUCACGGAUUUUAACUAAUUAAUUCCCAAACUUCAAACUUUGUAACUAAUUUAAUUAAAAUCUAAAUUCAAAUAAUUUAAAAUAAAUUCUCGAAAAAUAAUAUAAAGUCUCAAUAAUACAAAUACGUAGGUGAUAACAGUGAAAUCCAGGAACGGGAUUUCACAGAAAUGGUCCGAGUUAUUUGUUUUCUCAUAAGUGAAAUAUUUAUUUCUUAUGACUCUUGUACAGCACAAUCUUUAUAUGCGCAACUAGGUAAUUUGCUUGCCUUUUUCUUAUUUCAGAAGAGUGUGCAAAUACUUGAAAAUAUCAUCACCAGGGCUUGGAUUCAACCUCAUGGUCUAAAGCAUCUAUAUGUCUCUCUGUACAAUACUGAGAUACAUUUGUACCGAAACAAGGAGCUAAAAGAGGUAUUCUUUUACAGAAUGAUAUAUCUAUGACUGGAUGGCAUAUGAUGUAAUAUGAGAAGCAUUAUUUUUAGUCUAAAGUAAUGUUGGGUUCUAUUAUAUUCUACUUGUUUUCUUUAUUGUACUAGGCUCUGUAAGUGGUCUUAUGUCCUGAAUAAAUUUUGCCACACAUCCAUUCUAAACAUUCAACCAUUUCUAGUUUGAAGUUGUAUUUUCUACAACCAUUUUAUACAAUUAGCUUUAGUAGUUUAGUUUGCUUCUAUAUUUCAUCAGAACUAAUUUGUUUUUAGUUCCAGAAAUGAUUCCCGCGGCAUGGUUUGAGGCCCCAUGUUAGAUAGUUUUGGUUUUUUUUUCUUUUAUAUUGUGUUUGGUAAUUAUAGGUAGUAGAAAUAUAGGAAGCUAUAAGGAUUUAAUCAAUUUACAACAGAUGUGAUAGAAAUAUAGGAUCACUCUAUACUAUAUUUCAAGCUUCUAGUUGAUUAUCUGCAUCUGUACUUUCAUUUGGACUGGAUAGAGUUGCAGACAAGGCACUGCUUUAUCUCUCAUUUACUGAACUUUUUAUCUUUAGAAGUUAGCUUUAUAUACAUCUAGGCUCUUGCUUUGUUUAAAUAUGUUUCACUUUUGUCCUAAUUAAACCAGAUUCAAGGAAAUUUUCUGUUAUUUUUUAAUGUUUCUUUUUGUUCCUGUAAUAUCACUUUGUACAGUAAACUUUUUUUAUUUCAAUCUUAUAGGAUAGGGACGCAGCUGUUUGAUUGUUCUGUGUAUUUCUGUUUGGAUGUUGUAGUUGUAUCUGGCUCGUUAUUGGUGUAGGCAGGUGUUUAGUUCUUUGGGCGUAGUGGAUAUGUUGUCCACUAUAUUGCACGUCUCUUUUCUUUUAAUGAAAUCUAGUUUCCUAUGAAACAGUAAAACCACUUUUGUACCGUUUUUGGACUUUAGAGUUCUUUUGGAGGCCUUUCUUUUGUUAACUUUGUAAAGUACCUAUGCAGGCAUCAGAGGCAUUGAACUUAUGUUGUAAGGCAUCAUGGACUCGUGUUAUACGUCUUUGUGAGAUGUUUGCACACAAACAGAAGGUGUCCCAGGUUGAUCUGUCAGAAGAUGCCAUUGUAGAUUUCUUUAAUGAGUGCUGUACGAGAAGUGCUUUUCUUUUGGACGUUCUUAAUGAAUUGCACAGUUAUGAUGUGGAAAGAACUUUAUUAGAGAGCUUUGAAAAUUAGUCUAUUUCUGCAUACUUGUUUAGGAGGCUGCCAGGUCCUAUGGCUGUGGUGAAGCAGUGGGUUAAGGUAUCAUCUGAGAGUUUCCUUUACUUUUCGUAUUGUGUUUACUUAACAUCAUCUAAUCAUCAUAUGUCAACACAAAAUCUCAAAUAAUCUUAAAAUUUUGUAUCAAUUAACAUGCUGCGGUAUCUCCUUAUGCAGCUUGUUAUUGUCUUCUAAGAAAUUCCCAAAGAAGAUAAACGAAAUUGUUUUGGAACAGGUUAGAACAUUUUAUAUCUCUUUUCUGUUGGAGUUCAUUAAAAAUUUAUCCUUUUUAUAUUGGAGUUUGAAAUAUUUAUCCCGACUUUAGGUUGCAGUUGUACUAACUUCUCUCACGUCUACAUUUCUAUCUUGAAAUAUCAGGAACUUCUUGCGUAUGAGGAAAUAUUUAUCCCGAUUUGCUUGGUUCAUGGAGAAGUUUUUUCCCAUUUGGCUGUAACGACGACCCUUUGUUAUCCAAUUCGCAGAUGAGUUCGGACAAUGGGGAAUCCUUGAUUCAAAUGCAGGACAGAAAGAACUAUCUUCUGUCUUAUUUUAAUGCAUUGAAAUUCUUAUGCCAGCCAUUUACAGAGUAAAUUCAGGAAGGAAACAGUUUAUUACAAACAAUGAAGCUGCUUCUGUUUCUAGUUUCUACUGAAUUGUGCCAUAUCCAGGGUGCAUUCCAUCAGUUUUGUUUUCUUUCUCUUCAAAUGUGAGUCAAUGAUAAGCUUCAGUGUUAUCAUUUCUUUGAGUAUUAUGUACUCGUGACCGAAGUUGCUUGGUCUUAUUAUCCACAAUUGCUUCAGUCUUUUCCCGAAAUACUGUCUCACAAGAUCAUAGUCAGUUGAUGUUAUAAGAUAUUUCUGAAAUAUGUUUGUGCGUAGGUGCAGAUGUACAUAUGAGGUGGAUAGAGAUGGAUUUGAUGGAAACAGCACCCUUGAUGUUGCUCUGGCUGCUUUUACCCUCACCAUCAUAACAAAGCUGAACAUGCAGGUUUUCAUUCUUAUGAUAUAAUACUGAAAUAGUCCCAGUUAUUUGUUCUCUCAUAAGUGAAAUAUUUAUUUCUUAUGACUCUUGUACAGCACAAUCUUUAUAUGUGCAAACUAGGUAAUUUGCUUGCCUUAUUCUUAUUUCAGAAGAGUGUGCAAAUACUUGAAAAUGUCAUCACCAGUGCCUGGAUUCAACCUCCUGGUCUAAAGCAUCUAUAUGUCUCUCUGUACAAUACCGGGGUGCAUUUGUACUGAAACAAGGAGCUAAAAGAGGUAUUCUUUUACAUAAUGAUAUAUUUAUGACUGGAGGCAUAUGAUGUGAUAUGAGAAGCAUUAUUUUUUGUAUAAAGUAAUGUUGGGUUCUAUUACACAUCCAUUCUAAACAUUGAACCAUUUCUAGUUUGAAGUUGUAUUUUCUACAACCAUUUUGUACAAUUAGCUUUAGUAGUUUAGUUUGCUUCUAUAUUUCAUCAGAACUAUUUUGUUUUUAGUUCCGAAAAUGAUUCCCGAGGCAUGGUUUGAGGUCCCAAGUUAGAUAGAUUUGGUCCUUUUUUUUCUUUUACAUUGUGUUUGGUAAUUAUAGGUAGUAGAAAUAUAGGAAGCUAGAAGGAUUUAAUCAAUUUACAACAGAUGUGAUAGAAAUAUAAGAUCACUCUAUACUAUCUUUCAAGCUUCUAGUUGAUUAUCUGCAUCUGUACUUUCAUUUGAACUGGAUAGAGUUGCAGACAAGGCGCUGCUUUAUCUUGUUAACUGAACUUUUUAUCUUUAGAAGUUAGCCGUGGGCUUUAUAUACAAUCUAGGCUCUUGCUUUGUUUAAAUAUGUUUCACUUUUGUCCUAAUUAAACCAGAUUCAAGGAUAUUUUCUGUUAUUUUUUAAUGUUUCUUUUUGUUCCUGUAAUAUCACUUUGUACAUGAAAUUUUUAUUUUCAAUUUUAUAGGAAAGGGAUGCAGCUGUUUGAUUGUUCUGUGUAUUUCAGUUUGGAUGUUGUAGUUGUAUCUGGCUCGUUUAUUGGUGUAGGCAGGUGUUUAGUUCUUUAGGCUUAGUGGAUAUGUUGUCCACCAUAUUGUGUGUCUCUUUUCUUUUAUGAAAUCUAGUUUCCUAUUAAACAAUAAAACCACUUUGUACUGCUUUUGUACUUUAGAAUUCUUUUGGAGGCCUUUCUUUUGUUUAACUUUGUAAAGUACCUAUGCAGGCAUCAAAGGCAUUGAACUUAUAUUGUAAGGCAUCAUGGACUCGUGUUAUACGUCUUUGUGAGAUGUUUGCACACAAACAGAAGGUGUCCCAGGUUGAUCUGUCAGAAGAUGCCAUUGUAGAUUUCUUUAAUGAGUGCUGUAUGAGAAGUGCUUUUGUUUUGGACGUUCUUAAUGAAUUGCACAGUUAUGAUGUGGAAAGAACUUUAUUAGAGAGCUGUGAAAAUUGGUCUAUUGCUGCAAACUUGUUUGGGAGGCUGCCAGGUCCUAUGGCUGUGGUGAAGCAGUGGGUUAAGGUAUCAUCUGAGAGUUUCCUUUACUUUUCAUAGUGUUUACUUAACAUCAUCUAAUCAUCAAAUGUCAACACAAAAUCUCAAAUAAUCUUAAAAUGUUGUAUCACUUAACAUGCUGUGGUAUCUUACUUUUAUGCCAUAUCUAGAUGGAAUGUAACCGUUACAAGGAUGUGAAUGUCGAAGAUGAUACUCGAACCUUAUACAGUUUGUUAUUGUCUUCCAAGAAAUUCCCAAUGAAGAUAAAUGAAAUUGUUUUGGAACAGGUUAGAACAUUUUAUAUCUCUUUACUGUUGGAGUUCAUUAAGUAUUUAUCCUUUUUCUGUUGGAGUUUGAAAUAUUUAUCCCGACUUUAGGUUGCAGUUGUAGUAACUUCUCUCAUGUCUACAUUUCUAUCUUGUAAUAUUAGGAACUUCUUGCGUAUGAGGGAAUGACUGCGGUGAACCCUGAGUUUUGUCAGAAAAUCAAAUGCAAAUGAAAAUUAUAGAUUUCCUACUGAAAAUGUGUAUGUCACACCAAAUAAAUGGUUACAAAAAUCAAGAAUUUUAUUGAAAAAGGGAAGGGCAUUAAGGCUCUCUGGAAUCAGAGGUCUGAAGGACUGUAUUCAGUGUUUAUCAGAUGCAAUAUGUUUACUUGUAAGUAAAUUUAGAUAAUAGUUUCUUGUGUUUUUUUUUUUUAAUGAAUCUCAAUAACUCGCCUUUUGCGGGUUAUGCUUUGAUAGCUUUGAAGUUGGAUUUCUUGCUGACAUUAAUAAGCUACUGUACCAGAGUGACAUGUAUGAUGGUAUCCAUGAAAUUUCUCCUUGCCAUCAAUUAGCUGUGGCAUAUUGCUUACGUGCACUUUCGACCUAGGAAGCUGAAUCCAACUCAAAGGUGCUAAUUCACGAAAGUUAUUUCCCAAGUUGGAGUUAAUGCUACCAAGCUUCAUACGCUAUUUCUAUAUGUUAAGUGUCAUUUAACAAUUUUGUCCAGCUAUUUGAUUUGUAUUUGUUAUGACUCAUGAGCAGCGAGUGCUUGAAGAUAUCAGUGCUGCCAUUAAUCUAUGGUUGGGCAUUUCUACUCCAGAUAAUUGCCCUUCAGCUGACAAGUGCUCCAUGUUGUCUGAAAAUACUAUAUUGCUACGGUACAAUGUUAUUGAUCUGUUAUCCAUCAAGGUUUGUCUUUUGAUAUUGUUGGGUGCUGUACGCUCCACCUGAAAAUAUUAUUUCUUUUUGACAUGAUAUUAUUUUUAAAAUGACAAUGCUUUCUUUUCUUCUUUAUCUUCAGGGUUGCACGGACUUUCACAAUGAUAUACAUAGGCUUAUGAUUAGAUUAUUUAAAUGGAGUAAUGUCCCAUUAGAGAAGUGCGUUCUCAGAUUUUGGGAAUGUAGAAGGAUUAGCCAUUCCCUUUGUGCCUCACCUGUAAAUGAGACAUUCAUCAUGAACAUAUCGGAUCAUUGUGGUGAACUUUCAAAGUCUCUUUCUUUUUGGAUGGAUUGUCUAAAAGAUUUCAAACACUUGCUUUUAGCCUUCCAACAUAGUUUCUCAUUUCUGUUUCCAAACUUUCCUCGGGGCCCAUGCAAUCAUGACAGCUUGUUUCGAUCAGAUAUCACAGUUAAUGAAGUCAAGCAAGCUGCUUUUGAGCUUAUUUCACAAGUAAGUUCCUCUCAAGUUGCCACCGUGAAUUCUAAUGCCUUAAUGACGCAAAAUAAUACAUUAUUUUUUGUACUCUUCUUAUAGGCUCCUGUAUCUACUUGGUCUGCUUACGUAGCUGGAUAUCUCUACUAUGAUUUAUCGGAUAGACUUGUUUCAAACGGACGGUUAAUGGAGGUAAUUUGCAUUGUUUAUUUCACUUUAUUUAUUUUAUUUUGUUAACUGAGUAUUUUUAAUUGUUAAUUACUAGAUGUUGACAUGCUUUUAGGCUUAAAAGGAAUUCCUGCAUGAUGAUUUUGUUUUCAUCUCUGUAUCCUACAGGCUCUCUCAUAUGCAAAAGAAGCUCUCAACUUACGUGCUAAACUAUUUGGAGGGAAAUUCAUGUUCUCUUCUGAGCGACAGCCCAAAAAGUACAAUGAAACUGGAGGUAUCUGUCAGGAGUUAAAAUAUAGCAUUCAUGAUAUGCAUAUGCAAAGAUCAGUUGCUAGUGAAGUUUGGCUUUUUGAUACUAGUUCAUGUGACCUGGAAAGCUGUUAUCUGAGUCCAUGGAAUGCACUCCAAUGUUAUCUUGAAAGCACUUUGCAGGUUUUCUUCCUCUUUAAAUCAAUCAUUUUAUUAAUUAAAGUCUGGAACUUUCUUUUACAAAGAUUGGAUUUGAAUUUGGAUCUCCAAUAUAACCUGCAGGUUAUCCUCGAAAUCAUUGGUAAUGGAGCUGAGGCCGAAGGUUUUUUACAAUUUGGAAAAGCUUUUUCCUGCUCACAAAGCUUACCACUAUUUACAAUUGUUUUUUCUACUGUCUUGGGUAUAACUUCUCUUCAAUUGUUGUUCAAUGUCUAACAACUUUUUCUUCAUUUGCCACUAGGGAUGGCAAUGGUUCGGUUUGGGGACGGAAAUGCUAUAUCCAUCCCCAUAACCACGAAAAUUAACCAUAUCCAUAACCGCAAAUUAACCAUCGGGGAUUAUCCAUAACCAUAUUCACCGGAUAACGGGUUUUCAAUCGGUUAUUGGUUAUAUCCAUCUUUGUCAAAAAAAACAAAAACAAAUUAUAUUCAUCCAAUUGACGCAUUAUAAAUUUUAGUAGAUACUAAUUCCGUCAUUAAAUAGCAACAUCCAAUUACAAAAAACAUAACAAUAUAUUUGAAGUUGUUCAUGAUAACAUGCACCAAUUUCUUGACAGUAAGACUCUUGAAGAGAGACGAAUCUGAUAAACUUGUAACAUUUGAUAAUUGAUAUAUAAAAUGAUUCAAUGAAUUAAUUUGGUUGAGUAUAACAAUAAGAGUAUGGAAUUAAUAAGGUUGUUGGUAUGCCCCAUGCAUGAUGUUUGGUGCAUAAUAAUGAUAGUAUAGGGUUUGAUGCAUGCAUAAUGAAUUAGUAUAGGGAGGGUUCGAUAAAUUGAAUAAAAUUAUAUUAUAUAUCAAAUAUAUACAUAUAUAUAUAUAUAUAAUAUUUGGGUUGGAUUCGGGGACGGAUACGGAUUGGGGACCCUUAUAACCAUAUCCAAAACCAUAACCGAAUAAAGUUCACGGUUUUUCCCCAUAUCCAAACCAUACCCGAAUUUUCAUAUCCAAAUCCAAUCCAUUCGGGCGGUUAUCCACGGUUAUCGGGUUUAACGGUUAGAAUUGCCAUCCCUAUUUGCCGCUGGUUUCAAAAUAAAUAGAUUGUAAUACCUGGCUAAUUUACAGUUCAAUUUUGCGUGUCUUUAGGAAAGCAGUACCAUAAGCAGCAGCUUUGGGACUUGGCAGAAAUUGAACGUCAAAGUGCAAAGGAAUAUUUGGGGGACAGCAGCUCUGUUGUUUCUUGUUUGAAGUGCAGAUUGAUGCUGGAAGCAACAGUUAAUCAGAACCUUGGUGAUUUAUUCCAAAGCAUUUUUGAAAAUACAAGAAGUACAUCUUCAGAUAAGUUAUCUCAUGCUGAAAACCUGUAUAAAUCAGCCAUUGCCAAACUAAAUAUUUCUGAGUGGAAAAAUUCUGUUAGUUGUCCUGAAGAAGAGUGUGUUGAGUGGACAAUGCUUGGAAAAGCUAGUCUUAAAGACUUUGGAGUUUGCAAAACAGCAGGAAAUUAGGAAAACCACCAAGGAGGGCCUGAAAGGCAAGAUGGAUGCUAAAAAGUUUAAAAAGACUAAAAAUGCACCAAAAACCCGUGGUCAAGGAUCAAGUUUUAGGACCUGAGUGGAAUUUGAGGUCAACUCGGUCUAGAUAUCGAUCUUCUGAGAACCAAAGCAUAAGUGGUAAUGGCAUCACCCAACUUGGUCCGUCAAAGCAGUUGCAAGGAAAAAGUGAGUGUGGUUUUCCUGAUACUUUUAGUAAGAGGGACUUUCUAUUGGAUUUAAAAAGUUGCGAGGUUGUUUUUGGGUGUGAUGUAACAUUCAUUUGCAACAAAACGAGGUGUUGGCAUUGUCUUACUUUGGAAGUUAUGGAAUCUGGGUUAGUGAAAAAUGUAGUAGAUUUGAAGUGGGAGUUCGUCCGCAGGCGUUUAUCACGCAGGCUUCUCACAGGAUUAGGUAGGGGGCAGCUGUAUGUUAUGAUUUUUUACUUUCUCUAUCUGGAUGCAUGCAUGCGCGCAUACAGUUGAUGCAUUGUCUAUUGAAGGAAAAGGGAUGGACAGUGCUUAUUGUGUGCGUUUUGGGAACUAUAAAAGAUGCUUUGAGUUUGAGUUUUGUCUCUAACCUUUUCCUUGUUUUAAGACUCUUUAUGACCAUGUGGUUGUGGUGGUUUAUUUAGCUGAAUUUUCUGAAAUGAGAAAUUAAUUAUCAGUACCCUCUUAUUUUAUGUGCACUUAAUUUUUGAUUUUGAGAGGUUAGACAUCAGGGCCAUGGGAGAAACUAAAGUUAGAGACUUUUAAGAGUGUGGAUUCAUCUGCCUAAAAUUGUCUUAUCAUCUUUAUGGUUGUCAUUAAUAUUAACAAUUUUAUUAGCACUGUAGUUUUUUGCUUUGGAUUGCCAAACAUGUCAUGAUUCCAAACAUAGUUUUGUUUUUGCAAGUGAUGGCUAAAGCAUGAGAUCCAAUGUUCAUGGAACUUUGUUUUUGUGUUUUGCUUUAAUUUUUUUUAUUUUUAUUAUCCUAAAUAUUUUAUUGAUUAAAUUUAGCAUUUUUCAGGAAAAUGCUUGGAGAGUCGUGGUCAAUUCACGAGACACAUGAAAUUAUAGUGCAAACUAUAUCAAUCUUGGUCAGCCGAAACCCAUUUUUUCGUAUUACCUCAACUGUUCCGUUGACUUCCUUGCUUGAUUUAACGGGAAAGGAGAUCCCCCGGGAUGUGUUCUGUGUUGAACAUAAGUUGGCUGUCUUUGAAGAGUUACUGUUCUAAGGAAACCAGGUAAUCUUAAUAGUAGGUUCUUAUGUUUAUGCAUGCUUGUCGAAUAAAUGCCUUAAAUAAAGCAUCAGGGACAUCACCAGACACUUACUCAUCUUAUGGUUACAUGCAAUGGCAGCAAACAAUGUCGAAAGAGUUUAAAAUUUGAAAUGGUGUCACUCAGUAUAAAUAAAUAAAUCUGCUGGAAGUGCAGUGCCUUGACAUGCAAGAAAACCAUUUUGGAGACAAGUGAUGGAUAAUCUUAAGCAAAUUUUCAUCUCUCCCUCUCUAAAGUUCAAAAGGAGUUCAUAGUUUGGAAUGAUAAUCAGUUGUUGUAGGUUUGGAGCUAAAUAACCACAUUUCAGUUUUAUUAGUAGAAGAAAGGCAUUUUAGGAACACAAAAGCAAUUUUUCUAAAAAAGUAGUAGAAAAUCCCGAGUUGCUAUAAUAAACAAAUUUGUUUAUUAUAGGUUAUAAAACUUCAACUAAAGAAUCAUACUCCAUGUGUUUUCAUCUUAUUGUUUGUAGUGUUUUCAGUGAUGUAUCAUACUCCAUGUGUUUGUGAGUUGUUAAUGUACUUUAUUGUGAUGUUAAGUGCAUAUGUCACACUAUGCUAGUAAGGAGUAAAUCCUGAGCCAUUGUCUUUAUGGAGUCCUAAAAUCUUCACAAGCUUUAAUUCCACCUAGGCUCAGACUUUCGUAAUCAUCCAUACCACAACCCACUCGGCAAGCCCCAUUAUGUGGCUUAGGCCUAUUUUAGUGUCGGAUGUUUGGCAUAAUUCGAAUUAAAAUGUUGAUAUAUUAAUAUUACAAUUGUUUUGAUAUGACUUGGCAUAAUGAAUGAAUAGGUGUGCUGCAUGGGCUUAGCGUGAUUUUUCGAAUGUCCGAAUUAUCAUCUCUAUUGUCGUGGCAUGAUUGUGAAUUUGCAUACCCAUCUUUUUGCACUCUAUGCAAAAAUUUAAGCUUUGUGACGAAUAUAUAAUGAUUAUGCUUCCAAAUAUAAUUGCGCUUCUUAGUAAAUUUUGGGCCCUAAUAAGAUGUAAAAAAAUUAAAAGAAGGAAGCGGCAUUUAAUGAAGAAAAGUGACUGGAGAAUUGAAAAUUCCAGGGUCAGCAGAUUAUUUAUUGUUGUCAUAUGUCAAAAGUUAAUGUUCUAGACUUUUCAGGUAGCUUGACAAGCGAAAAAGAAAGAAGAGUCAGUUUUGACAAAUAUCUAGGUUUCUAGUCUCAAGACUUGUUCUCCAAAAACUUGCACCUAAGUUUCAGGAUUAUUGGUCUUGGGACCAUUCUGCUAGAAACAUUUAUUCCGUAUUUUUUGAUAUUUUUGGAAGUCUUUAUAAUUUUAAUUACUUCCUAUUUUAUUUUCCUUUUGUAGCUAGUGUUUGCUAAUAAGACUAUAUAAACAACUUUUAGGGUUCAAUUUCAACAAUCUAUUCAUUUUAUUGUUAAUUCAACUUUAGAAUUUUCUCUAUUUUUUGGUAGAUUUCAGAUUGCAAGUGGACUUCAGCUUAUGAUCUAGGAUUUGACGAUGAUUGAUCCUAGCUAUUCCGUUUCUCGUUGCAUUAGUUAUCAACUCUCUGAUUAUCUAAUGACCCAUUUUCAUUUACUUAAUACCAAGACCAAAACCUAUUUAUGAAUAAUACUUGCAUUCCCCAUUAGGGAAAUGCACAAAACUCACCAUUGCGAAUAACAUAAUUUCACUGUAUACAUUUUUAAUCAAAACAGUUCAAACUUAAUUUUCAUUUGAAAAUCAUCCUUACCAAAAAUCAAUAAAAUGAGAGAUCGUUUUGGUGGUUUCGAUAUGUUUACUGUACCAAAAAUCUCAUACUAAUUACCAUACCAAACUUUUCGUGUAUCAAAAUUUGGCAUACCAAAUGAAUUGAUUGGCGUGGUUCAAACUAUUUUAUUUAAGCGCGAAUCUUUUUUUUCUUUUCUUAAAGUACAAUUAACUGAUUAUUUUUUAGGCCAAAUCUGAUGGUUGGAUUUGACUCUGUUGCAAAAACAGAAAUAGAAAUGCAUAUGUUGAAAAAGAAUCAAUUUUGCAUGUUAUGAAUUUCUAGCCAAUAUAGGUUUUGCUCAAGUGCUCUUUGGAAUGAGGUUAUAAUACUUCUUAAGAUUCCGGGGAUAUACGUAGUCAAGUGGAUGACAAAUUAUUGUGUUUUUGUUUUCUUAAAACACAAUCUUAGCUUUACACAACACAUUUUUAUACUAAAAAAAAUACGAGUUGAUAUUAUUAUACCUGAAAACAAAAAUUAAAAUACAUUCUUAUACUAAAAAAAAAUACGUUGUAAAAUUAAAAUGAAUUACAUGCCACAGAUUUAACUAAUCACAAACUUCAUCCCUGAGGAGAAUAGUAUUGCUUAAUGGUGUAUGCAGUCUGCACUAAGGUGAGAAUCAGAAGGAUACUUGCUACAGUCCAGGAGGUGGCUUUCCAUGGAUCUGACCAAUAGUUACGCUUGAAUAUUUCUCGCCACCUCCUCAAUGCAGUUUGGUAUUCCUUCACUCGAGUACAGAGUCCACCAUAGUAGAAAUAAGUAAGCACCGUGUCGCAGUAAAGCUUGCUGAAGAACUCAGAACCAGUUUCAGCGCUCAGCCAGUUACCUAUAAUUUCCUUGUCGCAGAGAAAUUUUUAUAUCGUUGCUAGAGCCGAGGAGGUUAUCCAUCAGAACGGCAUAAGAUGUGAUUUUAUGCGAACGACCAUAACAGCAUUGCUCCAAGGCGAUCAGGUUCCUGAAUAUCGAUUCAGUUAACUCUCCAAUUUCUAGAUGUGGAAUCAUAAUAACCCCAUUCUCGCAUUCGAUGUUCAUUAUGCUUUUACAUUCAUCGGAGCUCAUUUUGAAUCUAAUGCCGGCCUCAGAAAGAGCAGUUGCUGAAGCUAUCAGUUGUAUCUUUGCAUCGAAGGGAGGUUUCUCAUAGCGUUCGGUGAAUGAGAAAACUAUGGAAGUUCUUAUGAGAUCGAGAAUGUGGAGCACACUUUCGUCCUCUUUGUAACUAUUUCCUCUUAGAUGAUCCAGAUACCACCGGCAGUUAUGGGACAGUUGUGGUUGUGAGCUGAGCGCGGUGAGGAUGAGUUCCGAGAGGCAGCGCUCAUGGUUCUGGUAAUACUUCACGGUGAGCUCAUACAUGGACUGGAGGACAAACCAAGGAAUCUGAUUUUCUAAGAGCAAAAGGUCAUGGCAUAUGUACUGGAACAUGCAAUCCAUGUUGAAUAAAGGGUCAUUAAUGUCCCUCUGUUCCUUAUUCACAAACUUCCUAAAUAUUUGUACUAGGAAGCAACCAUCAAGUAUCAUCAUGUGGAGAAACUCCAUUUUCAUCAGAGGAUCAAACGGAUGCGCAUAAAAAUCACGAGCUUUUUUCUCAAACUCAGCCAUGGCUUGUACUUUCUUGUGAUCUAAAAUGUAAUUGAUGAGUUUAUUGAUCGAUGCUUCUAACUCCAUAUCCCUGUCGUGUGACCGAUCCAUGUGUAAGAGAAGGUCGCGCAAAUACUCGUAUUUCAGAUUUUUCCAUAGCUUGAAAUUGUACAUUGUCUCGUGGAUGAUAAAGCCCGAUUGAGAUAAUGUCAGGUGCGUAUGCCAGUACGUUAUGUCUGCGGAGAACUUCAGGAACUCUGAAGAUGCACCUGGGAAGCUUUGGCGUCGAGGUGUUCUUUUGACGCUUCAAGUAAAAUGUCUAUGUCCAUAGCGAUUACUUAUGAUUCCAAUCCAAUUGAGCAACCAAAAAACGCAAAGUACUCUUUUAGCCGGGAAAGCCCCAACAAAGCACCACAACUGACAGCAAAACGAAAUCUACAAAACUGUAAACCUGGAAAUUCCCAAAUGUCCAUGCUUAAACAUCAAGUUAAUAAUUAACAAUCUACUAACAUUGAUUAAUUAGCAUUCAAGAACUCCUCCCAGAUGAAAAUACAAACGACAAUUGGGAUUGCCCAGAUGAGGAAGUUAUCAAAGAACAGUAACCCAGAAAUUAAAAUUGGAAAAAGCUGAAAACUUUGUAAGAUUUGAUCGAGACAGAGUGAUCAGAGUUCAUACCAUUUCCAAGAGAGAAAAAAAAUAGAAGUCACAGCUGCUGCAACUAUUUUCUCUGAGUUCGUCGAGUUUCUGGGAAAUUUAUACUCUUUUAGCCUGGAAAGCCCCAACAAAGCGCCACAACUGACAGCAAAACGAAAUCGUUAGGGUUUCAUCCAAAUUAGCAAAAAUUCAAAAUAAAACUGAAAUAAAAUCAUUAUAAAACACACCUUAGCUAAAUAAGAUCGAUUCCACAGUGAUCUGAAGAUAGGCCGCGCCCAAAGGGGUGGAAAUCGGCCAAAAUUCCGGCCACAACCCGGAAAUCCCAGAUGGAAAAAAGCACAAACACUGCGAAUAGAUUCGCAGGAUUGAGAAAAUUUGCAAACGGACGUUGAUAACGGAGACCAGAAAUAUGCAAAGGCUGGAGAAGGAAAAAAGGGAGUGCGAGAGAGAGAGAAGAGAGAUGGAAAACAGGAAUGAUGAUCGACGGGUUGAGACGAUGGGCAAAAUCGCCAUUUUUCUGUGCAAAAGUGGGGAAAAAAUAACACUGAGAGGAUCUUUUUUUCGGUGAAAGCACCAUUCUUUGGUGAACUUGGCAUCCACUUUCGGCUAAGAAAGAAAAGGGGAGACAAAGGGAACAAUCCUUGUUUUUCUUUUGACUUCUGUAAAUGGAAAAAGGCUAUGUUUUCGGUGAAAGCACCAUUCUUUGGUGAAAAGAAUAGUGUGGUCUUUUGUUUUCUAAGAGUUGAGAGCACAGAGGGUGCACCAGAAAAACAGAGAAGGAGAGGAUGAGGAAGAUGAUGAGGAUGAGGAUGAAUGAGGGUGAGGGUGAGGGUGAGGGUAGUGAACGGAUCAGCCUUUUCGACAGGCCUCAAAACGAAAUAAUGAAGCUCAUUUUUGCAGUUAAUUACCUUGUUCCUGAUGAGGGCCAUGCCAGCUUUGAUGUUCAUGCUAUUUUCUCGACUAGUCAGAAAAUCAUUAAGGAUUCGGCCAACAUCAUUCACAAUAUUAUUGAGCAGGUAUUUAUACUGCUGCAUCUUUCUAUCUGCUCUUAAUAACUUUAAGCAGAAAGAAAAUAGUGCUCAUUUAGUGUUUUUUUUUUUUAUAAUAGUGGGCACUCGACAACUCUAAACUGUUCGUGAUUUUUUUCUUCUUUUCAUAUUUUUUCCUUGCGACUGUUUUUUGUUUCUUCCCGUUCUGAGUGUUAUGUUAUGAGAAUUACACUAUGGACAAACUUCUAAUUGCAAACUUGAAACUUGACUCGAUUUAUUGAUCAGCAGUACCCAAAAAUAGCCUAAAUGUUACAUCAAUAGGAAAAGGAUCAUGCGAGGAUCCUUUUCCUAGGGAUCUUAGCGAUCCCGCAAUCAUGUCCGUACGAUGAACAAUAACAUUGUGCGGUCAAUUUUCGUUAGGUAAUAUUUAUAUUUGCAUUUUAAAUUUUAAAUAAUUUCUGACUGCACAAUGUACGAUAAACGAACACGAUUGUGGGAUCCUUAGGAUCCAUAGGAAAAGGAUCCGGCAAGGAUCCUUUUCCUCGUCAAUAUAGGAUAGCUUGAUUUGUGAAAAAAAAAACUCAGAUUAAAUGUUUAAAGAAAUGCACUUCAGUAAUGUCUUAGUGUUUAAGAAUAAUUAGAUAUUAGUUGAAACACCCAAAGAUGAUUACCACUUUUGCAUGUCUUGUCGCAGGGCAGCGGAUUUAAUGAUGUUGAAACACCCAAAGCCAGCUCCAGCUUGUGCACUCUUGUUAACUCCUUUGGCUGCAAGGUCAUCGUAUUAACUGAAUACUAUUUUUCUUUUUGUUCUUAAUUUGGUAAUCCUUUUAGUAAUUACUGGUGAAAAUGAGAAUGCUGUUUAAUUUUUGUUUAAGAAAUUAUAUUGUCAUUGUCAAAUAUAUUUGAUUGAAGUUUGAUGUUAAAUUAAUAAGAUUUUUUUAGUUUCCUUUUUAGCACUUUUAAUCGUAUCUUCAUUGAUGCAUCUUCCAAUGAAAAAGUGUUAAUUUUAUCCAAAGAUGAAAACCCUAUUGUCCCGUUUUAUGUUGUUAACAACACUAUGAUGCAAUUUCAGACGUCGUGUAAGAGUCCAGGUGAUGAAACUGCCUUUGAAUCACGUACGGAAGAAAUACUUACAAGACUAUCAAGUUAUCCAUGUGAAGUACAGGUAGUAUUGGCCCUGGCGAUUUUUGCUUUGGAAUAUGAAGAAUGUUCCAGCCAACUUUCCAAGAAAUCGACAACGCUGAAACGCCAAGAUGCAGUAGUCGAGCUUAACAAUCUGGUCAACCAAGCGUUACAAGUGAUUGAGCACAUCCUUGAGUUGGAGAAACUAAUUUCUGGUGAUCGAGACAGUGAACCAAAAUUGGCGAGGGUAAUUAUGGAUACCCCAUUUAAUGCCUUCUGGUCAAUCAUAACUCUUGUAGCUUGCACAACUGAGCUCUCACUUCUUACCGGUGACGAGUAAGUUCUUGUACUAAUUUUUCUAUUAAGAUUUGAUAAAAGAAAAACAAAAACAUUUCUUCUUGCCAACUACGUAUACGGGUUUUAUGUGUGUGUGUGUGUAAAACUAAAAGGGUUCUUUUUGUUAAAAUCUAUAUUUGACAGUGUUUUUGUGAUGUAAUUUCUAAGAACAAGGAAUGAAGAACAACACAGAGAAUUUCAGAGAGAAUUGUAGGAGCUAAUCGUAGCUGCACUGCAAGAUAUUUUCAUUGAUUCAAACAUUGGUUGUUUGUACAAUCUUAUCUCUUCUUCUCUUCACUACAAAACAAAGACAACUAGCUAAAAGCAAUUUAAGCCCUUCAAUUAGGAAACUAAUAUGGUGCAUACAAUUGUCCUAUGAGACUAAGUCCACACCUUACCCACUAACAUAAAUUAAAACUAGCCACCCCCCAAAUUUAAAACUGGCAGAUUUCUUACAAUCCAAACUUUCGGGGACAUUAAGUCAAAUUUGCUAUAAUCCAAAUUUAAAACUGGAUUUCUUGCAGUUAAAACAUCUUGAAGGUUUGGUAUAUUAUAAAUUUGCUAAUUAUAUCUGACUAUCAUUUGAUUUGCUCUUAAAUUAUUUCAGGGACAUUAAGUCAUAUGAUCUAUCCCCUUUUUCUCAAAAAAUGGGCUUCAUCCUCAACAAGCUUGAUGGACAGCUUACAAUCUGCCAACAAGAAAAAAGGUCGGUUGUGGAUGCAUGAUAUGACUCCCGAGGGACAUUAUAUAUUGCAUUUGCCAUUAGUCCAAUAUUGUUGAAUCUAUUUUAUUUUUUCUAAUUAAUACAGAGGAGGCAAAGGCCAAGGAAAAGUUUUGGGAACUUAUACGCACUGCCCCUCCUGAAAUUACCGAGGUUUUCCAAAGGCUGGUUCUUUUCAAGCAUAAAGCGUAUCCGCAGCCUCCCAUCAUCAGUGUUAAUCCCACUAGCAAGGAGGUUUGGUCCCCUAGCACAUUGAUUUUCUUCGUAUCUGUAUUACUACUCAGCAACUUAUUUAAUUGUAGUUAUCUUCCUUAUUUUUUGGGUAAUCUGGGGAGGGGGGCGAACACCAAAAACACCUUGUUUGAUAUCCUAUUUGAAAUUUUUUAUAAUUUCUCAAAACAUUUCUUAAGAACUUUUCUUGAAAACAAUUUUCUUUAAGACUCAAAAAUGGUAUCCUAUUUUAGUUGUUGUUUUUUAACCUGUGUUUUUAAGACUCAAAAAUUCUUCUCUCUGUGAAUAAGCAGUCUCCAGCACCACCGUUCAAAUCACAUCUGAGACUCCAACAAACACACAAACCUCAUACCAAAAACACAGGUUCAACCUUGCAGCUCCAACACCGAUUUCUACCCUCUCAUCUUUCUUCACGGUCUCCCCUCUCCCUAUAGUUUCUCACUACCCAGUACCCGUUUCUUUAAUUUUGCAUCAGAAAUUAAGGAAAAUAAGGAAAGAUAAAUCGUAUUUAUUAAAUAAAAAACGAUACAUCCAAAUGAAAAUUUAAAUCACUCUGGACUUCAGCUCGAAAUAAUCACCCGGGAUUGAAUCCAAAAUACCAACAAUCAUAUUUAUCCUUCCGCCGUCAAGCUCCGCACCAGAAAGACAUCGUUUCCUCCAUAAGAUCCAAAAGAGAGACCAUACGACGGAAACUACGGAGAUGAGGAAAAACUUAAUGUAUCUGUCAGUGUACUCUUCCCACAAAAUCUGAUGGAAGCAACGAGCGAAGCAGAGCACAAACGACAGAAUUGAAAGACGUUCAAGAAGUUGAAGUUAUCAGAUGCAGUGACAGUGCGAGACAAAGUCUACCUAGGACAUUGAUUUUUUUUCAUAUAUGUAAUACUACUCAGAAACUUAUUUAAUUGUAGUUAUCUUCUUUUAUCUAUUUUUCACGUACAGGUUUUUAACAUCGAUGCGCUAAAGGGGGAAGUGUGUGUUUUAUUUUACAUUUCAAGCCUGGACAAUGUUUCUGAUCAAGAUAUUUUAUGUCUCAAAGAAGUGUAUGAGGGAAUCGAUAGGCAUAACAAGCGUGCGAUUGUGUGGAUCCCUGUUGUUGAGGACUGGACCGAAGGAGGAGAAGAGCAGUUUAAGGAAUGGAGGUCUAAGAUGCCAUGGUACGCGGUGCAAUAUUUUUUUUGCCCCCCGGCCAUUGGGUACCUUGAGCAGCGGUGGAACUUCAAAGGUAAUCCUAUGGUGGUCGUGAUGAACCAGACCGGAAUUGUGGUAAACACCACCAUAAUCGACUUGAUUCGGACACAAGCAACGAAGGCAAUCGCUUUGCUUAACCUUGAGCGGCGGGUGCACAUCAGAAGGUAAUCCUCACGAAGAGGACCCGUCGUGGAUCCUCCUGGCCAGUGGACCAUUUAAUUCAAGGUCAAUAGAAAGAGCACAUAAAAUUAUGUUGGCAAUGCUAAAUCUAAUGAUUUUGUUUCUCCUUUUUAUAAUUAUUUAAGCAGGUGGUGCCCUGUUUGUACCGACUGCUUGAAGCCGUGGAGGAGUUGAAGAGUUAACUUGUCCUCAGCAAUCGACGCCUGUCCUUCUUGAUGGUUCUAACAAGCAGGUUUGCUCUCAUUCUAUAUUAAUAGUCAAGCUACGAUUUGGCAUUAAAAAUUAUCAAAUUAUCCGGCAGGUUGGAUUUGGCGUUAAAAGUUAAGGAAUCUCGUCAAAAUUUAUUCAUUAACUGUGCUGGAAUUUUUUUCAAACAGGUUAAUAUCGACAAUGAGCUGAAGUGGAAGCAUCUGUUUUUGUUACUCUCGACGUAGGCAUUGAAGAUUGUUACAUUUCAUAUCUCAAGCCAGUUUAUGAGGGAAUAAGAAGAUACGAUGGGUAUCGGAUUGNCCCCCGCCCCCGCGACGAACCCACCCUCCCCCCCCCCCGCGACGACCCACUUCCCUUCCGCACCCAUGGAAGCCCAGCUCCGGUCCCCCCCUCUCUCUCUCUCUCUGACACAAAAAAAAUCUCCGGUCCCCCCUCUCUCUCUCUCUCUGACACAAAAAAAAAUAAAAAAUUGCAAAGCCCUCGGGCCACAGGCCCGUCGACUCCCCACCCCCCUUCGCUCGGGCUCCCACCGUCGCUCGGGCUCCACACGGCUGGAGCUCAGUCCACAUGGCCUCGGGCCCUUUCCUCUCCACUGUCCCCCGAGCAACCAGCAAGGCUGGAGUUGCUCUAAAAGUGAAUGUCAUGGAUAAUUUUGAUGACCAAAGCAAUAGUUAAAGAACCAAACUGAUGAGUUGUCAAAUAACUGGUUUGUUCACCUUUUGCAUUUCAACUUAAUCAUCCAUUUUACGUAAAAACCCACAGAGACUAGUAAACCUAAAGGGGUAAUUACACAAAACACCCAUUGAAGAUUUCUAUGUUUUCACAAAACUCGCUCAGAUUUAUAAACUUACAUUAAUACCCCCUAAGAUUUUUAAUUCAUUUUCACGUAAACCCUUCAAGGACAAGUUUACCCUCAUUGCUAAUUAAUUAAAAAAAAAUUAAUAGAAAAAAUCAAAUUUGUUACAGUCUUAUUAGAUUAGAAAAAGUCAAACAUGUUGACUAAAUAGAAACCAUGUUGGAUAGUGGCCAACUUGGCAUCCACUUUCGGCUAAGAGCAAUUCCACCCUUAAAAAAAUGCGCCAGCACCCAGCCCAUUUAAUCCACUUACUGAACAGUGAUAGACCAUAAUGAACAAUAAUAGACCAAAUGCAUCUCCACUCCUAAAACUAAAUAGCCUAAUCAAUUUUAUAUUAAAAUUUUAUUAAUUUUUAUUAUAAAAUAAUAAAAAUUAAUCACUCUCUCCCUCACAAUCUUCAACCUCACCUCAAUCCCUCUCUGACUCACCCGAUUCCCACAAUCCAAUCCACACCCACAUCUUCCUGCAUCUCAUUUCACAGCUAUACUCCACAAUUGCAGUCGUAGUGGGACGAAAUCUUGACGUCUCUACAUCUCCACAUCUUCCUCGCUUUGCCCCUCCCAUUUGCUUCAUCUUCCUUGCUUCACCCAUCCCACUAAGCUCAUUUUCAGUUUUUUCGCCGUUGGGAGAAUACCCAAAUACCACAGCCCAAUUGAAAAUCGGCCGGCGAGAUCUUCGAAUUGGGGUGGAAGGAAAGCAGAGAGCUUCAAAUUCAGCUCAAGGAGGAGUGGCGGUAUCGCCUGGGGUCAUGUAGGCCGGGCAAGGUGUCACGCCCUAAAAUUUUUAUUUUAUUUUAUUUUUUUUUUUGGAGCAUGAAUAACAAGGGUAACUUAAAGGUAGUAACAGGUGUCUGUGUUGAACUAAAACAUUUCAUUAAACAAAAUAAUUUACAUUGUCAUUACACGUAAGAGAAAACGACAACAACUCCAUAACAAGUUUAAACUAUUUAUAAGCAGUCUCUUUCUUCCGAGUCAGCCACUAGAUUCCUGUCUAUUCUCCUGUAACACAACUAAUAAGGGGUGAGCUAAAAGCUCAGUAGGGGCCCAAGGUCUCACGUGAUUAAUAUUAUGAAUGUUAUGAAUAUUUUAUGAAUAAUGUAAUGCAAGAACAAUACUUCUUUUCUACCCAACCCGUUAACCUAUAUAUUGAAGCAACCAGACAUGCAUGUCCCAUACCAUGCAUUUUACCACUGUGGCCCCGAGUGCUUUAAUAUAUAGAAUAACCCCCAUCAACUCACCCAAGUUCAUAAUCCCUUUUGCUAGUCAUCUUAUCUGAUUCAUUGAUCUCCAGCCCAAAUCACCCACAUCGACAAUUUCCGUCGAUAUCCUAUUCUAUUGUGCACAUCGGGCUCGCCUGGAACUGGUUUCACAAUGAGCAGACUCAACUACACAAAAGCUAAUUUCCACCUUUUCCCACAACACAAGUAACUCAUUUACUUCUUUGACAAAUGAUAAUGAUCAUGCCAAUAUAUAAUAUACCACAUAACAAUCAUAUCUAAGUCAAUAGUUGAAUACAUCUCAAGUCCACAUAACAAUAUUUCCCGUAAUACAAGUAACAAAUGCAAUCAAUUAAUUCCCCAAAUUCCCCUACCUUGAAUCCUCUCUUCUUACUCCACGAGUACUUCUUUUGCUUAUCUCCUUUUAACACUCUCUUACACACUUUCUACAUACGGGGCGUAUUGCACUUUGCAAGAGGAAAAAUCUAACACAUAUGGAGCAUUGCUCCUAUUUAUACCAUAAAUAAGGCGGCAAAGUGGUUCUCAUUGGUUAUCAGUUUCAACAUCAAAAUGCUACUCCACCAUUCCACGUUAGCUAUAGGCUUGCUUAAUCACCAACCUAGGCUUCAAUAGUCAUCACCCUAAGGUGCUUACUAAGCACCCUAAAAAGCCCUACAUGAUAACACCUCAACUACAUUCUUUUCACCAACAAGUUAAUCUAAUGUCCUUGGGUCGGCAUAUGGAGUGAACUACGUGGCAAACUUUGCCACUCCAAGAAAGCCAUUUGACCUCACUUUCCUAGUCCAAAAGAGUUAAUAACCAUUUUAUAAGGUUCGUAGUAAAUUAAUUUCAACCCAAACUUAACUAACCUAAGUUAAAUAAAAGAUGUCCCCCUUUAAGCAAGAUUAAAUAAAAAAGAGAAGUCUAAAAGUUUAAUCAAAAUGAGCACGUAGGAAAAAAAGGUGUAUAAAAUUAAGAAAUUAUGGGACUCCACAAUCUACCCUCCUUAAAUAAUUUCGUCCUCGAAAUUUAAAACAUACCGGUGACGAAAAAUAAUUCUGGGUACUUUUCUCUCAUUUCAGCUUCUAAUUCCCAUGUAGCUUCCUCUACAUUCCCAUGUAGCCAGAGAACUUUGACUAACGAAAUAGUCUUUGUACGUAACCUUUGAUCCUUAUGGUCUAAUAUCUGUAUCGGUCUCUCUUCGAAUGAUAAUUUUCUCAUCGACGCUCAGUUCUCCCCAAUUUAGAACAUGUGUUGGAUCCGGCUGAUACUUCCGAAGCAUUGAGACAUGAAACACGUUAUGUACAUUCGAAAGUUGGGGUGGUAAUGCUAACUUGUAAGCCACCUCUCCAAUUCGUUCUAAUAUUUCAAAAGGUCCAAUAAAUCUUGGAGCUAAUUUUCCAAAUUUUCCAAAUCUUUUAACUCCUUUUCUUGGUGAAACCUUAAGAAAGACAUGAUCGCCAAUGUUAAACUGUAAUGGCCUUCUCCUUUUUAUCAGCGUAAUUCUUUUGUCGACUUUGAGCAGUAAGCAAGCGUUGUUUAAUAACCUUGAUCUUCUCUGUAGUUUCUUGUAUUAUCUCUGGUCCUAGUAAAACAUUUUCACCUACUUCCGCCCAACACAAAGGGGAUCGGCAUGGUCUUCCAUAAAGUGCUUCAUAGGGUGCCAUCCCUAUACUUGAUUGAAAACUAUUGUUGUAAGCAAAUUCUGCUAAAGAAAGAUGAUCUUCCCAGCUUCCAUGAAAAUCCAAGACACAAGCUCGUAGCAUAUCUUCUAAAAUUUGAAUAGUUCUCUCUGAUUGACCAUCAGUUUGGGGAUGAAAUGCACUACUAAAAUUCAAUUGAGUCCCUAAAGCUCGUUGCAAACUAUCCCAAAACUGAGAAGUAAAUUUCGAAUCUCUAUCCGAAACAAUUGACAAUGGAAUUCCAUGUAAUUUAACUAUCUCUUGAAUAUAAAUCUUGCCAAGGAUUUCUGUGGAAUCCGUCGUUUUCACUGGUAUGAAAUGCGCAGAUUUAGUCAAACGAUCUACAAUGACCCAAACAGCAUCUUUCUUUUUAGGUGAAUGUGGUAAACCCGUAACGAAAUCCAUAGUUAUAUGAUGAUCCCACUUCCAUUCUGCAACAGGUAAAGGUUGAAGAGAGCCAGCUGGUUUUUUGAUGUUCAGCCUUUACUUGCUGACAAGUCAAACACUUGGAUACAAAUACUGCUAUAGCUUUCUUCAUACCAUUCCACCAAAACUGACGAUGCAAAUCGUGAUACAUUUUUGUACUGCCUGGAUGAAUAGUGUAUGACGAGUAGUGUGCUUCAUGAAGAAUGUCAUCCCGCAAUUCUUGGACAUCUGGUACAUAUAAUCUGCCUAAGUAUUUUAGACUAUCAUCCUCAUGAAGAGUCCAUCCUUCAGGCUUAUCUCCAGCUAAAAUUUUCUCUCGAAUUGACUUAGAAAAAACAUCAUCUUGUUUUUUUUCGACUACUUUUCCCAACAAAGUAGGUCUUGUAACCAAAUUAUAAAGACAUGCCUUAUUUUCAUGUAUGUUCACAUGUAAUUCGUAGUCCAAAAUAAACUCAAUUAGUUUCCACUUUUGGAUAUGUAACCAUGCUAUAUAUCCAUGCGAUUUUCUACUUAAGGCAUCCGCUACGACAUUGGCUUUCCCAGGGUGAUAGUGUAAACCAAAGUCAAAAUCUUCUAAAUAUUCCAUCCAACGUCGUUGUCUUAAAUUGAGCUCUUUCUGAGUAAAAAGAUAUUUCAAACUUUUAUGAUCUGAGUAAAGCUCAAAUCGCUCACCAUAUAGGUAAUGUCUCCAGGUCUUCAAAGCAUGCACAAUUGCAGCUAACUCUAAGUCAUGUGUUGGAUAAUUCCUUUCAUGUGUUUUCAAUUGGCGAGAAGCAUAAGCUACUACUCUAUCAGAUUGCAUCAAAACACAUCCCAGUCCUCGUAAAGAUGCAUCAGUAUAAACUACAUAAUUUACGCCUCUUUCAGGAAUAAUUAAUAUUGGCGCUGUCGUCAAGCGAGUCUUUAAUGCUUGAAAUGACUCUUCACAGUCCUUAUUCCAUACAAACUUCAUUCCUUUUUGUGUCAACUUGGUCAUUGGUGUAGCUAUUCGAGAAAAAUCCUUUAUAAACCUUCUGUAAUAUCCAGCCAAUCUAAGAAAACUCUGUAUUUCCGAUACAUUCUUUGGUUGGUUCCAAUUCAAUACUGCUUCCACCUUAGAAGAAUCGACUGCAAUGCCCUCACUGGAAAUUAUAUGUCCUAAAAACUUUACUUCUGACAUCCAAAAUUCACAUUUACUCAACUUGGCAUACAAUUUAUUUUCUCUUAAAGUUUGUAGAACGGUUCGUAAAUGAUCCUCAUGCUCCUCUUUGGUUCUAGAAUAAACCAAAAUGUCAUCAAUGAAUACGAUCACAAAUUGAUCCAAGCAAUGUUGAAAGAUUCGAUUCAUCAUAUCCAUAAAUGCUGCUGCUGGUGCAUUUGUCAAUCUGAAAGGCAUAACAAGAAAUUCAUAAUGCCCAUAACGAGUCCUGAAGGCUGUUUUAGGAAUAUCUUCUGUUUUGACUCGAAGUUGAUGAUAACCUGAUCGGAGAUCAAUCUUUGAAAAAUAUUGUGCACCUUUCAGCUGAUCAAAUAAAUCAUCAAUCCUAGGUAGAGGGUACUUAUUCUUUAUAGUGAUUCUAUUUAACAACCGAUAAUCGAUGCACAAUCUAAGGGUUGCAUCACUUUUCCUCACAAAUAAUGCAGGAGCACCCCAAGGUGAAACACUGGGCCGAAUGAAUCCUUUCUCUUGAAGUUCUUGAAGUUGCUUUUUGAGUUCUUUCAGUUCUGCUGGUGCCAUUCGAUGAGGAGGUAUAGAAAUAGGCUUUGAAUCUGGGUGUAAUUCUAUCACAAACUCCACUUCACGCUUUGGUGGCAAUCCAGAUAACUCUUCGGGGAACACAUCAAUGAAUUCCUUUAUGAUAGGAAUUAAUUCUUCUUGUGACCCACUAAUUUCUUCGGUUAUAAUGUUGGCUAACAAGCCCAAAUAAUCAAGUUUUCUUUUAUGCACUUUGUGAGGCUGCUUAUCCCCAUAGAAACUGAAAGUUUUCCCCUCAGGAGGAUUUAUUGUAAUUUUCUUCGUACUGUAAUCAAUUAUAACCUCAUAUUUUUUAAGCCAAUCCACUCCUAAGAUAAUAUCAUACUCCAACAUGUCUAAUAUCUUCAAAUCAAAAGGAAUUCUAUAGUUUGACAUUUCUAUCUCGCAAGAUUUACACACUUUAGCAACCUCUUUGCUCCCACACAAAGGAGACCCAACUAACAAAGAAAAUUCCAUGUUUUGAGUUUCUAACCCAAGAGUAGAUGCAAAACAUUUUGAUAUAAACGAGUGUGUAGCACCACCAUCAAAUAAUACUCUAGCUGAAGAGUUGAAAACUAGAAACGUACCUUCCACUAGUUCAUGCUCAGCUUGACUUGUCACAUUUCCUAUAGUAUAAACUCGUCCCUGUGUGAGUUGUCCAGAUUUCUUAUUUGGAGGAGCUCUUGGUCUGGCUUGUGAAAAUUGCCCUUCUAGACGUUGUGACUGUUGAAUAACUUGUGGUCUUGGCCAAUUUCCUUGAGUUUGAUAAGGGACAUAGUUUUGAGGUGGUGGUGCACGAAAUUGUGUUUGUGGAGUAUAAAAUUGUACUUGGGGGGCACGAUAUUGCACUUGAGGUCCUUGAUUCCUUUGUUGUCGUGGACAAUUUUUCUUAAUAUGUCCGAUUUGCUGACAGUGAUAACAUUUUUGCGGUUCUUGGCUUCCCAGUGGUUGAUACGGAAAAGGAUUAAAUCUUGUCCGCUUAUUGGUAUGUUCACUGCUAAAGUCCUUAUGAUCCGAAAUUCUCUUAUUUUCAGACCGUUCCGCUAUGUACGCUCUUUCCUUUACAUCAGCAUACCUGCUUAACUUUAGAAUUUCCACCUUUUCCAAGAUUGAUUGUCUCAACCCUUCUUCAAAUUUCCUUGCUUUUGCGGUAUCGUCGGGAAUCAUAUAAGGUGCAAAACGCAUAAGCUCUUCAAAUUUAGCCUCAUAUUCAACAAUAGUUAAUUCUCCUUGUACGAGAUUAACAAACUCUCUUGCUUUCAUACUCCUCAAAGUACUUGGGAAAUACUUUUCUAAGAAGAUAGUCUCAAAUUCUUCCCAAGUUGUAACUUGUGUAUCUGGAAUACUUAAAAUUGACUCCCACCAAUGGUAUGCUUGUCCUUCUAAAUAAGUACAAGCAACAAUCACUCGAACGUCUUCUGGAAUCUUUUGGUUAUCCAUUUUUCUCUUCAUCUGCCUCAACCAUUCUUCAGCGGCUAUAGGAUUUGGCUCACCACUAAAUAUAGUUGGUUUUGUCUUGCGGAAUUCUCCUUGUAUUCUCAUAACUCGAUUUUCUUCAGUUUCAUGAUAUUGGUUAUGGUUAUUACUUUCUCUAAUUGCUGUGGCCAUAUCCUGAAUAGCUAAAAUUACUUCGACAUUUCCGUUGAACUCAUUUUGAUUGUUUGCCAUCUCGAAUCCAACAAAGAAAUUAUGUCAAAAUAAAAGAAAGAAAGAAAUCAUAAUAAUAUAAAGUAUAUGGUAAUACCAAGACAAUUAAGAAAACAUAUAUUUACUAACAUUUAUACGAUUUUACAGCAAAAAGUUGUUCAAACUAUUUUAACUAACUUACCCUAUGCUACAACAAAAGGUCUUAUGCUCUACUUCCCACUGCCUUACUAUUUUACAACAAAAGACUAGUAGUCAGUUUGUAAGACUUUGGAGAGCAUUUAUUUUUACACAACUACCACCUUCUUCGUCCUUUUUAAUCUUCCUCAUCCGAAUGGAUGAUGAUCAUUUCUGGUGGUGUAUGUCGUGGUGGUGUAGCACUUUUAAUUGAACUUUCACUUGGAUCUUCUUCUCCACCUUCGUUUUCCUUUUUGUACUGACUCAUUUGGUGGUUCUCUAGCCAAAGGAUUUUCGAGAUCUACUGGAGGCCACCUAUUUCCAUUCUCUUCUAUAAGUUCCACUACUACGGAAUUGUAAACAUUAUCAUUAUUGAUUCCAUCAUCAUCAGCAGCUUCAACAACAUGCCUUCUUGUUCUAAUGCUAUGCUUUGCAAUACGCUUUUGGGCUUGAAAGGUGUAAUUGCGCCUUCUAAUUGCGGUCUGUUUAAUUAUCUCCUUAACCAGAUCUCGGGUGGCACUUCGAAUAAGGCUUUUAUAUCGAUCAGGAUUUGUUGGAAUACACCCAUAAUAGGAGAGGUGGAAUUCUCCACACGAUCCAUCACUUAUAUUAGACUCCAUUGUAUCUGUCAAGGCCAUAAAGAAAUAAGACAUCUAGAAUACAAUAAUUGUAUAACAGCUUGUCAAACUUGUAACAAAACAAAACUUCCUUCUUAAAGGUAAGAAUACUUAAACUGGAAAUUCUAACUCAAAGGAUUGUAAACCUAAUGCUCUGAUACCAAUUUGUCACGCCCUAAAAUUUUAUUUUUUUUUAUUUUUUUUUUUGGAGCAUGAAUAACAAGGGUAACUUAAAGGUAGUAACAGGUGUCUGUGUUGAACUAAAACAUUUCAUUAAACAAAAUAAUUUACAUUGUCAUUACACGUAAGAGAAAACGACAACUACUCCAUAACAAGUUUAAACUAUUUAUAAGCAGUCUCUUUCUUCCGAGUCAGCCACUAGAUUCCUGUCUCUUCUCCUGUAACACAACUAAUAAGGGUGAGCUAAAAGCUCAGUAGGGGCCCAAGGUCUCACGUGAUUAAUAUUAUGAAUGUUAUGAAUAUUUUAUGAAUAAUGUAAUGCAAGAACAAUACUUCUUUUCUACCCAACCCGUUAACCUAUAUAUUGAAGCAACCAGACCUGCAUGUCCCAUACCAUGCAUUUUACCACUGUGGCCCCGAGUGCUUUAAUAUAUAGAAUAACCCCCAUCAACUCACCCAAGUUCAUAAUCCCUUUUGCUAGUCAUCUUAUCUGAUUCAUUGAUCUCCAGCCCAAAUCACCCACAUCGACAAUUUCCGUCAAUAUCCUAUUCUAUUGUGCACAUCGGGCUCGCCUGGAACUGGUUUCACAAUGAGCAGACUCAACUACACAAAAGCUAAUUUCCACCUUUUCCCACAACACAAGUAACUCCUUUACUUCUUUGACAAAUGAUAAUGAUCAUGCCAAUAUAUAAUAUACCACAUAACAAUCAUAUCUAAGUCAAUAGUUGAAUACAUCUCAAGUCCACAUAACAAUAUUUCCCGUAAUACAAGUAACAAAUGCAAUCAAUUAAUUCCCCAAAUUCCCCUACCUUGAAUCCUCUCUUCUUACUCCACGAGUACUUCUUUUGCUUAUCUCCUUUUUAACACUCUCUUACACACUUUCUACAUACGGGGCGUAUUGCACUUUGCAAGAGGAAAAAAUCUAACACAUAUGGAGCAUUGCUCCUAUUUUAUACCAUAAAUAAGGCGGCAAAGUGGUUCUCAUUGGUUAUCAGUUUCAACAUCAAAUGCUACUCCACCAUUCCACGUUAGCUAUAGGCUUGCUUAAUCACCAACCUAGGCUUCAAUAGUCAUCACGCUAAGGUGCUUACUAAGCACCCUAAAAGCCCUACAUGAUAACACCUCAACUACAUUCUUUUCACCAACAAGUUAAUCUAAUGUCCUUGGGUCGGCAUAUGGAGUGAACUACGUGGCAAACUUUGCCACUCCAAGAAAGCCAUUUGACCUCACUUUCCUAGUCCAAAAGAGUUAAUAACCAUUUUAUAAGGUUCGUAGUAAAUUAAUUUCAACCCAAACUUAACUAACCUAAGUUAAAUAAAAGAUGUCCCCCUUUAAGCAAGAUUAAAUAAAAAGAGAAGUCUAAAAGUUUAAUCAAAAUGAGCACGUAGGAAAAAGGUGUAUAAAAUUCAGAAAUUAUGGGACUCCACACAAGGGCUCAACACAUUCUGAGCCAACCUAGAUACCAGCUUGGGCUGGUAUUAGGAAAUAUUUUUCAUUACUCAAAAGAAUAACUUUACACUUGGGUUUUAUACAAAAGCAUCACAGCUUAACAUAAAAGGAAUCACUACCAAAACUAACUUAAUAUUCCUUAUCAUUACUUAAUCCCGAAGUAUUAUCCCUUGAAGGUGUAAUUACAUUUUUGUCCCUAAUACUGGGUGCCAGCCUAUCUGCUCGGCUGGAUACUGGGCCAAUAAUUUAGCGGGUACCAGCCUAAAGGUUCCCCGAUAGAACUGCUCUAAGAAAUAAAAGGGGAGACAUCAAGGGGACAAUGCUUGUUUUUCUUUUUGACUUUUGCAAAUGGAAAAAGGCUAUGUUUUCGGUGAAAGCACCAUUCUUUUGUUUUUUUUUUAGGAAAAUGUGAAAGCACCAUUCUUCUUUUUUUUUUUUUUUUUUUUUUUUUUUUUGGAAACGUGAAAGCACCAUUCUUUGGUGAAAAGAAUAGUGUGGUCUUUUGUUUUCUGAGAGAAAAAAAGAGAGAGCUACGCAGAGCUCAAAAUUGGCAGAGAGUUGAGAGCACAGAGGGUGCACCAGAAAAACAGAGAAGGAGCGGAUGAGUAAGAGGAUGAAUGGGGGUGAGGGUGAGGGUGGUGAACGGAUCAGCCUUUUCGACAGGUCUCAAAACGAAAUCAUGAAGCUCAUUUUUGCAGUGAAUUACCGUGUUCCUGAUGAGGGCCAUGCCAGCUUUGAUGUUCAUGCUAUUUUCUCGACUAGUCAGAAAAUCAUUAAGGAUUCGGCCAACAUCAUUCACAAUAUUAAUGAGCAGGUAUUUAUACUGCUGCUCCUUUCUAUCUACUCUUAAUAACUUUAAGCAGUAAGAAAAAUAGUGCUCAUUUAGUUUUAUUUAUUUUUUAUUUUUAAAUAGUGGGUACUCGACAACUCUAAACUGUUCGUGUUUUUUUUUCUUCUUUUUAUAUUUUUUCCUUACGACUGUUUUUUGUUUCUUCCCGUUCUGACUGUUAUGUUAUGAGAAUUACACUACGGACAAACUUCUAAUUGCAAACUUGAAACUUGACUCGAUUUAUUGAUCAGCAGUACCCAAAAAUAGCCAAAAUGUUACAUGUAUAGGACAAGGAUCCUCGCCGGAUCAUUUUUUUUAGGGAUCCUAAAGAUUCCGCAAUCGUGUCCGUUCAUCAUACAUUAUGGAGUUAGUUUUCGUUAGGUACUUUUAUAUUUGAAUUUUAAAUUUUAAAUAAUUUCUCACUACACAAGAUAAACGAAUACGAUUGCGGGAUCUCUAGGAUCCAUAGGAAAAUGAUCCUCGCCGGAUCCUUUUCCACAUCAAUAGGAUUGCUUGAUUUGUGAAAAAAAAAAAAAAAAAAAACUCAGAUUAAAUGUUUAAAGAAAUGCACUUCAGUAAUGUCUUAGUGUUUAAGAAUAAUUAGAUAUUAGUUGAAACACCCAAAGAUGUUUACCACUUUUGCAUGUCUUAUCGCAGGGCAGCGGAUUUAAUGAUGUUGAAACACCCAAAGCCAGCUCCAGCUUGUGCACUCUUAUUAAGGAGAAAUUUUUAAAUGUGACGGGAACACGAUUCGGUACCUCAAGUAUCAUAAUACGAGUGGUUGGAAAUUGGAUAAAAAAAAAUUUCAACAACUUGUUUUAUGACACUCGGUGUACCGACCCAUAUUCCCGGCACUUUAAAAAAUCUCUUCUUAUUAUUAACUCCUUUGGCUGCAAGGUCAUCAUAUUAACUGAAUGCUAUUUUCCUUUUGUUCUUAAUUUGGUAAUCCUUUUAGUAAUUACUGGUGAAAAUGAAAAUGUUGUUUAAUUUUUGUUUAAGACAUAAAUGUCAUUACCAAAUAUCUUUGAUUGAAGUUUGAUGUUAAAUUAAUUAGAUUUUUUAGUUUAUUUUUUUAGCACUUUUAAUCAUAGCUUCAUUGAUGCACCUUCCAAUGGAAAAGUGUUUUAUCCAAAGAUGAAAAUCCUAUUGUCCCGUUUUAUGUUGUUAACAACACUAUGAUGCAAUUUCAGAUGUCGUGUAAGAGUUCAGGUGAUGAAACUUCCUUUGAAUCACGUACGGAAGAAAUACUUACAAAACUAUCGAGUUAUCCAUGUGAAGUACAGGUAGUAUUGGCCCUGGCAGUUUUUGCUUUGGAAUAUGAAGAAUGUUCCAGUCAACUUUCCAAGAAAUCGACAACGCUGAAACGCCAAGAUGCAGUAGUCGAGCUUAACAAUCUGGUCAACCAAGCGUUACAAGUGAUUGAGCACAUCCUUGAGUUGGAGAAACUAGUUUCUUAUGAUCGAGACAGUGAACCAAAAUUGGCGAGGGUAAUUAUGGAUACCCCAUUUAAUGCCUACUGGUCAAUCAUAACUCUUGUAGCUUGCGCAACUGAGCUCUUUUUUCUUACCGGUGAUGAGUAAGUUCUUGUACUAAUUUUUCUAUUAAGAUUUGAUAAAAGAAAACAAAAACAAUUCUUCUUGCCAACUACGUAUACGG
Molecule: long non-coding RNA, 46203 nt
Filed under: Malus domestica (apple)
Lineage: Eukaryota; Viridiplantae; Streptophyta; Magnoliopsida; Rosales; Rosaceae
Description: long non-coding RNA (MDOM_LNC018482)
Source: RNAcentral